This 68055-nucleotide long non-coding RNA is filed under the name Triticum aestivum (bread wheat). RNAcentral describes it as "long non-coding RNA (TAES_LNC025718)". The stretch from base 1741 to 1827 matches the Rfam family "MIR1120/MIR1122 microRNA precursor family". Lineage: Eukaryota; Viridiplantae; Streptophyta; Magnoliopsida; Poales; Poaceae. The record is from RNAcentral.
GCCUUUUGCUCUGUAUUUCACAACGUGAGAUGGUUAGAAUUUUACUAUGAAGUAUUUGAGCGGUGUAUCUUAGUGUACAGACAGGAUUUGCUUGUAUCAAUUUCACGUUAAGUGGACGACUGCGCAAAUCCAAAGUUCCUAAUCACACGGCUCUACCUGUAUGGAUAAUUUCGUUUCUGGAUUCUAUAGGAUAGUUGUCCAGCGGAUGUAACAUAGUGCAUGUGGCUACAUUUGUGUUUAUAAAUUUGGUUUUAGGCAAGCUAGAACAGUUGACGGAUGAGCAUGAGGUAAAGAACCAGUAUGAACUUAGGUGAUUUCUGAUACCAUGAGCACUGUUGCUACUUGUAUUUCUCUCCAUAGAUUGCAGCCCUUCUUUGCAUCGAUGUGGCUCAUUUUAAUGAAAAACAGCAGGAAAAAAAAAUGUGCCACAGCCUUUAAAUGUAUAUAUAAAAGUUAUGUACGGAUUUAAGUAUUUAAAGAUGAAAGGAAAAGUCCUAACUAACAUCUGUAAUUCUGCUGCUGUUUAUCAACUGCGGUCUGUGGGGCUUUAUUUCAAAGGACCUUAGAUUCAUGAUAUAAAAUGGCAGUUGUGGUUUAUUUUGAUAUUCUCAAAAGCCUCACGAACUGAAAACCCUGGAGUUCUGUUUGGGCAGAUAUGUUCCCAGCAUGAGGGAGAAUGAACAUUUCAGAAAAGAUGUCGAAUUGUUUCUUUCAUUUGAUAAGUCAUGACAACAAAAUUAUGGUCUUGACAAGUACACCCUCCGUAAAGUGAUCUAAACGCUCUUAUAUUUCUUUACGGAGGGAGUAUUUCCCCUCGUUUUUAAUAAAUCCUUGUGUUCAGUCUAUCAUGGAGGUGGAGCCAGAAAAAGAACUUUUGUUUUCUUUUCGACAAGAAAUAUUCCAGAUCCAUUUCAAAUGAGGAAUCACAACGCGCUGACCGACCAUGGCAUGGUAAAGCUUUAGUUGAGGAAUAUUCUGGAGGAUUCCAGAGAUAGGUUCAUUAAUCUAUUUGAAAUGAGGGAUCACAACAUGCUGUUAGUCAGUCUAUAUAACUAAAGGGAAGUCCCAUUAAGCUUUAUAUUUUCGGCAUUCUGGUAAUUUUCUGAAAGCCUUUUUUCACUUCUGACCGGCUUGCAUGCUCAGCUGUUGCUGGGGUUCACCCCGCACCUCACCGCACCCUUGGCUGUACCACAGAACCUAGUCGAGUAGUCAUCCUUUUAGGGGUAAUCAUGAGCUUUUUGCACAAAGUUGUGGGCUAAAUCGCCAAUUUCAACAUCAUCGAUUUCUGCUGGAAGUCUGGAACCCAAAGACAUAGAAACAUUCAGGUUGCAUUUCGGUCCCAGUUUAGCAAGGCCAUGUCCAGCUUGGUUCUAGAAUUACAUGUGCAUAGCUCAAGCGUCACUCCAGGAGGACAUGUGCUGAUCAGGAGCUUGAUGUCUUCAAUGACCUGCGUCGUGGCUGGCUAGUCCGGUCUGCGGCGAUCGCCUACUCAACCGGCCUGUCCUUGGUAGAGAAGGCAUCCCUCAUGGGAAGAGAUACUCCGAGUUGGCGAUUUCUAUGUCCGAGGGAUGGCCGCCGCUCAGCACCGUCCAUGCAACAUCUGACGCAAGGACCCCAUUACCUCAGGGGAAACAUAACACAUCGAAUUACUGCAUGCUAGUUAGUGCACAAAACAACGAUCAUCUUUGCAUGUAGGUGCUGACAAAAAACUCAUGGAAAAUUUAUUAAUUGCUUUGUAAAGUACUCCCUCUGUAAACUAAUAUAAGAGCAUUUGGAUCACUAAAAUAGUGAUCUAAACGCUCUUAUAUUAGUUUACGGGGGGAGUAUAUACUUGCAUGAUUGAGCUCCUAUCCUUCAAUAAGAAUCCAAAUAUAAGGCGUUCAAACCAUGAAAACAAGCAAACAAUAAUUCUGUCUUAACAGUAGAACUAGCAAAGAAUAAUUUUGAAUAGUCACUUAUACUACUCCAAAUUUAUUGAACAAUUUACCACUGACAUAUAACUUAUUUUAAAAUACCGUGUAAAAUUUUCAUCAAAUUAUGAGCUUCUAGUAAAAAUCUAAAAUGCCAGAACUAACAACAUAGCUGCUGAAAGCAGCAACUAACAAUCAACAAACAACCUUCUUGUUCUUGAUGUAAUUCUUGGCUCUUUAUUUUUAUAAUACAGUGGUUAUACAAAGGGAUAAUUAAUUUAAUUGAGAAGCUUACAUGACAAAAGUUUCACAUUGUUUCCAUGGGCAUGAACAAAAGUUGAAGGUCCACCCCCACUUCUUCAAUGCUCACAUUUUCUCAAUCACUUCUCUUUUGAUUAUUUUAUUUUAUUUUUACCUAUUAGUUUCUUGGAUAAAAGUGGAGUUUACAAGGUAUCAUGGAGGAUAUUACAUCAAAUUCUAACCCUCUUCCUAUUUGUUGACAUUGCAUACGAAAACAAGUUAAUAACAAAGAGUAAAUGCCAAUGCAUAUUAAAAGUAGUUUCUUGCAAUUUUAGCAUCUUGGAGACAUUGAGAGGGCACUCAUAUCUUCAUCUAUCAUAAUUAUUGCAAGAAGUAGCAUCAAACUUAAUAUUAUAAGUUUAAUUAACAUCAUCAUGAGGACAAGCAAAUUUUAGGCCACGAACAUAGUAUUCAAUACACUCAAAUUUCUCCUCUAAAGUGUAGUUAGGAGAGUCCAAAACCAUCAUAGGACUUCCAUAAGUGAGAGUAAAAUAAUUAUUCAUAGUUUCAUCAUCCAUAAUAGUAUCAUAAUCAUCUUCAAGUAAUCCGUUCAUAGGUGCAUUGUGAUAUUCAUUCCAAUUUUGAACACAGUCUUCACAAAAACAAAUUUCAUGUAAUGAGCUUUGUGUGUCAUCCAUUAGUAGCAGCAACACGAACAUCACAACUAUCAUCCAUAAACCUAGAGAGCAAAUCAUCACAAAAAUACAUAAUUUUGGUAUUUUUAAAUAUAAAAUCAGACCCUUAAUAUUACUUAGUAUAAAAAAACAAGUGCAAAUGAGAAUAUUCGACUUAGCGUUAUGCUCCCGAAAACGGCGCCAAAAAGGUCUUGAUAAUCCCCAAGUGGAGUUACUAUAGCUCUCUCCAAUGAGGAUGUGGAGGUAUAUGAGUGUUAUAGCCCCUAGGAGCUAAAUGUAGGUUUCCUACUCUCUAGUAGGAUAGGAUUCAAGGAGGUGACUAAAGUACUUAUAAAAGAUAAAAGUAAAAUGUCAGGGGUUGUAACCAAAAGAUUUACGAGAAAAACGAGAGAGCUUGAGUAUGUGGUGGUUGUGAUGAAUGUAGCAGGAUCCAAUGUGAGCAAGUUUCUGGGCAAUUGGCUAGUUUAUAUAUUCAUGGUUGAUUUUCUUAUCUUGGGAACAAGUCUAAUAAUGACACGAAGAUGUGUCGCGGUGUCUACCUAGGCAAUUACCCUUCAUACAACUUUAAAAGUUAUCUAGGCCUGAGCGACUACCCUUCAUAAUUGAAAGUUAUCUCAAGCUUAAGCGAUGACUGUAGGAUCGAAAGUAUGUCUGGAGGGAGGGGUGACUGGACUACUUGACCAAAUGAAAACUUGUCCUUUUCCCAAUUUAGUUGUAGGCAAGUUUUAGCAAUUCUACCAAGUCAAGAACACCCUACACAUGCAAGUCUAGGAGUUGAGCAGCGGAAAGUAAAGAAUUUGCAUAUGAACGUAAAGGAGAGAUAUGAGAAAUCAAACGCAAUGAAGACACGAUGAUUUUUGGCGUGGUUCCGAUAGAUGGUGCUAUUGUACGUCCACAUUGAUGGAGAUUUCAACCCACGAAGGGUCCACGAAGAAGCAACCUUGUCUAUUCUAUCAUGGCUUAUGUCCACGAAGGACUAGCCUCACUCGGGUAGAUCUUCACGAAUUAGGCGAUCUCCUGACCCUUACAAACUCCUUGGUUCAACUUCACAAGAUCUUGGAGGCUCCCAAGUGACAUCUAACCAAUCUAGGAGACACCACUCUCCAAAAGGUAAUAGAUGUGUAGUUGAUGAUGAAAUCCUUGCUCUUGUGCUUCAAAAGAUAGUCUCACCAACACUCAAUCACUCUCUCACGGAUUUGGCCAUGGUAGGAGAAGGAUUUGAGUGGAAAGCAACUUGGGGAAGGCUAGAAAUCAAGGUUCAAAUGGUAGGGAUGGAAUCUCUUGAUCUCAACACAUGAGUAGGUGGUUCUCUCUCAGAAAAUGAAUGGUGGAAGUUGUGUUUCAUUCUGAUGGCUCUCUUUGAGAGUAAGUGGGGGUGGAGGGGUAUAUAUAGGCUUCACCCAAAAAUCCAACCGUUACAACCUUUUGACCCAAAUCGGUGAUACCAGAUCAAAAUCCCGGUGAGACCGACUAGUGUAAAAUAUUCAAACAUUGGAGGUCUCGGUGAGACCGAAGUGGAACAUCUCGGAGCGACCGAAGUGCAAUGACUAGGGCAAGACCUCGUUUCGGUAGUUCCGAUCGUUUCAUCUUGGUAAUUUUGAAAUGAAGCAACUUCACCACAGAAACUUGGUCAUGCCAUCUCGGUGUGACCGAGAUCCAUACCGAUAGAACAGAAUGUUAGGGUUUGGCUCAGGCAAUGUAUGUGAUCAACUCGGUGAGUCUAGAAUAGAGAAUUUCGGUGGGACUGAGAUGACAAUUUAGGGUUUGGACAGAUGUGAUGUGGAGAAAGUGCUUGAGGGUUUUGGAGCAAUAUCUCUAAGCACUUGAGCAACAAACUCAUCAUCGGUACCUCAUCCACUUUUAAUAGUAUUGGCUUUCCUAUAGGACUCAAUGUGAUCUUGGAUCACUUAACCAAAAAUGAAGAAUCUUGUAGCUUUGCCAAUUUCAUGUCCUUAGUAUUUUGAGGGGUCCACAAUCACUAGUCUUUGCCAUGCCAGUCAUUGAUCUUUUCUGAAAUCUAUUAUCAAUGAGCAUUAGAUCAAUGAAUUAUAUGUUGUUAUUAGUUGCCAAAACCACCCAGGGAUUAGUUGUAGUUUCAAUUACCCUUCAUGUCCCUUGAAGGUUAUUUCAUCACCUGCCACUACUGGGAGAUAAGGCACUACAUUGUAAGAUGGACUUUGUACUCCCCUCAAAAGUGUGGUUUUCUUGGGAUGAACCUAAUUUAGUAUGCUACUACGUCGAGCCUACAUGCAGUUAAAAUUGUUCUCUUAGUAAGGAACAAAAGCACUAAGAUCCAUUAAGGUAAAAAGUCAACUAUAAUAUUCCUCUAGGGUCACCUUAAUUCCCCUAAGUUAUAACUCCUCUAUGCUUGGAUCGAUAAUAUCUGUCACUCUAGGAUCUGCACGCAAAUUUAGCAUAACGCAUUGCAGGACCUAAAGUGUUCCCCCUAUGUACUCUAGGGUCCACUCGUACACAUGACACAAAGAUUGCAUAUAAACUAACAUUCAACCCAUCAUUAUAUUAUUUCACCAAUGCCAUGGAGCAAUUUACUACCCAAACAUAGACAUAAAGAUGCGAUAAUUCAUGGAAAAUAAUUUAUAGAACAAGACAUCAAUAUUUUUGAAUGUAUUACAGUGGUUUAUGGAUGGAGAACCCUCUGAUCAAAGGAUGAAGAUGGUGGUGGAAACAUUGGUGCAGUCAUUGGAGACGACGACGAUAUGAUGGUUCCUCCGACAGUGUUUCGGCACCGUCGGAAGGGAGGGGUAGAGAGUCCCCCUCCUUAUUCCUUGGACUCCCCCCUAGGUGGGAGAAGAGCUCUCUGAUUUUUAGUAUCUAUGGUCGUGGAGCACGAGAGUUACCCCUCAGACAGGAUCUGACUUUUAAGGGGAGCCAUUUCUAGACGCUAAAAUCCAAGUCCCAUCAUGGUUUUGUAAUUGUCCGAAGAUCUGUAACUCCAAAAGAUCUAAAAUUUUGGAUGUUCAUGUGAAUGAAAGGGGGUGCCAAAAAGGAGAUUGUUUGGCAUCCCCAAUUUUACCCUCUUGUGAUUCUCCAGCAGUGUUGUCAUAGCCUAUCCUCCGUUCCAAGUGAUUUGGUCCAUGACAAUGGUGGGUUUGAGCCUGCUACAAAACCAGUGUCAAGGAUUGAAUUGCAAUCUAGUUUUGUAGUUGGGGUCAUGUUUGAAUAAUGCUUGGACUGGAUAGUAAUUUUACUUUUUUGAUAGGUCCUUUUGUAUGAAAUGUCCCAAUGCUCGAAAGUAUUCUUCUGCUCGUGAGCUCAUAUGCACCCGCGAUGAACAGUAAAAUCAAAAAAUAAUAUAAAAACUGAUUAUUUUGGAAAAAAAUUAUCGAUGGUAUUUUUUUGAAGAAAAACAUUCCUAAAAAACAAUGCUCCAAAAUGUUUUUUUCGAGAGUACGCAUACUAUAUUUUUAUAGAAGAAUAGAUCGACGUUUACAAGAAGCCCAUGGAGCAGUUGCGAACAUCCACACCACAACUACCAAAAAGCUCUAAAAACUACUCUCUCACAAAACACAUAAGACCACCUACUCCGACUUGUUUCCAUUCACACAGCUCACUCGCAGUGUGCACGACUAGUUGGCUCGAUGACUUAUGUUGAUCCAUUCUGUUGAAAAAUGAGGCAUUCCUCUGCUUCCAAAGAGCCUAGGUGAUCGCGAUGACUAGAGUGUCAAAUUUCCUUUUAUAUGCACCGAGAAGAGUUGUCACCAGUCAAGCAACCAAGGAACCAACUAAUCACGCAUGUCAGGGCAUAUUACGUUGAUACGAAUGUGGUCGAAGCACCGGUGCCAAGCCUGCCCCGCGUACACAAUUGCGUUAUAAUAUUAUCCACAUUGUCCUCCGCCUGCAGACAUGAAUAGCAGGGCGAGGGAAUGUCUUGCAAACCACAGCGCGGCGAUCAGACGUCCACAACCGGUACUGGAUAGCCAGCUAAGAAAAUAUUUUGCACUUCAAGGGGGCCAGCUUCUCCACAUGAGUUUCAUGCUUGAUUAUCUCGGGAGGCCUUGGCAGAGAAACGAGUAGACAAAGUACACCGAAUAAACUCGUGAAGCCAAAGGCGAUGUAAGACUACCCGGGGCCUCAAUAUCUCUCUAAACCAAAGUAAUGGUGUGGCGCAUGUGAACAAACUGGAAAGACAUCGUAAAGGGUAGGUUUAUUUGAAUGUCAUUCUCCUAUGUAGCAUUAACCAAAUCUUGCUGCACCGUGCGACUAUUCUGAGUCCGUUUGCAUACUCCUACACAGAUCAUAGGAGCAACAUCAGCAAGCGAUCGAGUACCGAUCCAGCGAUCACCAAAAUAGGACGUUCUGACCAUUCCCCGCCUUGAUUUGGAUCAGACUAUGAAAAAACCAUCGAGCUUCCUUAUCGACCAUCAUUUGUAUACUCUGCCAAGGUCUCUAGAUAUCUGUUCUUCGCAGCCACUCCCCAUGCAUGUAACACCCUCGAUGCGGCUAUAGCUCCCACGUGUCGAGGCACGAUUUAGAGACAUAACCGCAUUGAAAGCAAUGUCGCAAGUCAGACAAUCAUUACAACAUCCCAUGUAAUAUAUAAUAAAAGGGGAAGAUACAUAGUUGGCUUACACUCGCCACAUCAUAUCAAAGUACAUAAAUAACAUCCAUCAUUCAAACACUCAUGGCCCGACUAUGGCGCCAAAAUGAAAGAGAACCCAACAUGCGACACGGUUCCAAUCACCCCCAACUGGGCACCACUACUGAUCGUCAGGAAAGGAAACGUAGUAACGCUGAGAGUCCUCGUCGAACUCCCACUUGAGCUCGUACUCGUCACCUGGAGCGGAAUCACCUGGACCUGCAUCUGGAUUUAUAGUAAUCUGUGAGCCACAGGGACUCAGCAAUCUCGCACCCUCGUGAUCAAGACUAUUUAAGCUUAUAGGAAGGAUAAGGCAAAUAUAUGUGGAGCUGCAGCAAGCGACUAGCAUAUGUGGUGGCUAUCUUAUUCGCAAAGAGAGCGAGAAGAGAAGGCAAAGCACGAGCGAGAAGCUAGAAGAACAACCUGCGCAAGCAUAACUCCAACACCAUGUCCACUUCCCGGACUCCGCCGAGAAGAGGCCAUCACGGUAACACACUCAGUUGAUUCAUUUUAAUUAAUUAAGGUUCAAGUUAUCUACAACCGGACAUUAAAAAAUUCUCAUAUGCCCAUAACCGCGGGCACGGCUUUCGAAAGUUCAAUCCCUGCAGGGGAGUCCCAACUUAGCCCAUGACAAGCUCUCACGGUCAACAAAGGAAUAGACCUCCACCCGAGACACACCGAUCAGACUCGGUAACCCGGUACAACAAGACAAUUCGACAGGUUAAAACAAGGCCAGCAACACCGCCCGAAUGUGCCGACAAAUCCCGAUAGGAGCUGCACACUCAGAUUGUCCAAACUUCCGGUAGGCCAGCCCAGAGUUGCCCCUGGUAGCCACCGGCGGCUGACGGUUUGGACCAACACUCAGAGGAGCACUGGCCCGGGGGGGUUAAAAUAAGAUGACCCUUGAGUCUGCAGAACCCAAGGGAAAGAAAGGCUAGGUGGCAAAUGGUAAAACCAAGGUUGGGCAUUGCUGGACAAGCUUUAAUCAAGGCGAAAUAUCAAGGGGUUCCCAUUAUAACCCAACCGCGUAAGGAACGCAAAAUCCGGGAACAUAACACCGAUACGACGGAAACUAGGGCGGCAAGAGUGGAACAAAACACUAGGCGAGAGGCCGAGCCUUCCACCCUUUACCAAGUAUAUAGAUGCAUUAAGAUAACAUAGCAAUAUAAUGAUAUCCCAACAAGUAAAUAAAAGAUGUGCCAACAAGGAACGACCUCCAAUCUUCACCUGCAACUAGCAACGCUAUAAGAGGGGCUUAGCAAAGCGGUAACAUAGCCAAUCAACGGUUUGCUAGGACAAGGUGGGUUAGAGGUUUGACAUGGCAAUUGGGAGGCUGACAAGCAAAAGGUAGGCAUCAUAGCAUUGGCAUAGCAAGAGCGAGCAAACAAACAUAGCAAAGAUAGUAGUGAUUUCGAGGGUAUGAUCAUCUUGCCUGCACAGUUAUCAGAGUUGACUGGAUCCUCACAAGCAAACUCAACGGGCUCCUCGGUAGCGAACUCGUCUCCCGGCUCUACCCAACAAGACAAACAAGCAACAAGGAUACAAUCAACCACAUGCAAACUCAAUCAACACGAUGCAAAGAUGAUAUGCUAUGCUGGAUGCGAUGCGGGAUGCAAAAUGCAAGAUAUGACAGGAAAUGCAUGAAUUUGGCCUCAACUUGGAAUUCCAAGGGUGCCACUGGAAAGAUGAGAUAAAAUCGCUUGAAAACGAUAUAAAGAUCAUCGGAAUCGGAGUUACGGUUUAGAAAUGGCAAGCGUUUCAAAAUUGACACCGGUCUGCGAUUUAUAGCAAGUAGGCAUCUAAAUGCAAUGAGAUGAACAUGCUACAUCACCCAAACAUGACAACAAAAUGCAUGGCAGGGAUGCACACAAGAUGCUUAACAAAAGCCUAGCACCGAGCUACGGCCAAUUCAUCCAUUAUGAGGUUCAAACAAGCAUGUCAAAAACACAAAUACAAAACAGAUUCCAGACUUAGUGAAAUUAACACUUGUCUGAAGUUUCAGAUCACGAAGCCCUCUUCGGAGCAGCAAAACAACAUGAUACAUGACCUGAUUAUGAUAAAUAAGAACAUGGCAUGGAGCUACUCAACAAGCUUAACAAAAGUCCCUAAGUGACCUGGGGCCAAAAGGGAUCAUAAAAUAUACUAAUGGGAACACGAACAUAGCAAAAACAUAAUCAGUUUUCAGACUUAGUGAAAACUGAGACAUGCUAAAAUAUAACUCACGAAGGCAUGUAAACGAGCUCGAUGCACUCAUUACGGUGCAAGUCAUGGCAAGGCAAGCAUACAUCCAUUAAGAAGGCACAAAAUGCUAGCUAUACAUGGCAAGAACAAUGGCAUGGCUUGCAUGGAUCAAUUACAAUAACAUCGGCAAAAUCGCAAACGAGUUGACGAUCUGCCCAGAUUCACAACGAAGCAAAAGUAGAGCUCGAUUGACUCAAGCUAGGGUGCUCCAUAAUUGCAAAAAAAUACAUGGAUGGAUAGAGCAUAACAUGAUUAACAAAACUCCCUUACUGAUCAUCCUCAAAAGAGGCACGGAUCACUAGGAAACAACACGAACAUAUGGCAUCAUGAACUAAAUAAUUCUAGACUUAGUGAAAACUACUAAGUCCCUGAAAACAGAUUUCCCGGGUGCCUCACUUUGCAAGCUUGCACAAGUCACCACACACAUCCUAAAAAUGCAUGGGUUGCACCUCUGAAAAUAAGACAAAAUCCUUAACCAAACAUAUGAAGGACUCACAGGCAUAGCAUGCACACAAUAAUCAUGGCAAAAAUGACAAAAGUCUAAGAUGAACUAGCAGAUCUGACAAUUAACUCACGAAGCCUCCUUCUAACAGCAUUUCGGGCAUCAAGAUGCACUCAAAUGAAAAUGAUGCAAUGGAAUGAAAUGAUGUACUCGUCGAGACGAACAUUUUGAUAUGCUAUAUGUCCAAAACGGAGCUACAGAUGCGGAGAUAUCACUGGUCAAAGUAUGCUCGAAAAAUUAGGGUUCGGGAGCGAAAGUCAACCGAGAUAUUUCGGAUCUGAGAUCCAGAUCGGGCACGGGAACCUAUGCAUGCCGGAGUUGGGCUUGAAGCUCGCCGGAGUUGAGGUCGAGGUCGCCGGAGACGCGGGAUCCGGCCGGUCAGUGUAGAGGACGACGGGGCGGCGGCCGUGGCGCGCUUCCCGAGGCCGGCGGCGGCGCGGGGCCGGCUCGGACGGGGGCGCGCGCCGGUGGAUGGGGAGGCGGCGCUGGAGGCGGAGAGGAGCGGGGGCGCUCGGGCCCGGUGGCGGCGCACGGGGGCCGGGCGCGGGCCAGGCGGGCUCGGCGGCGGCNNNNNNNNNNNNNNNNNNNNNNNNNNNNNNNNNNNNNNNNNNNNNNNNNNNNNNNNNNNNNNNNNNNNNNNNNNNNNNNNNNNNNNNNNNNNNNNNNNNNNNNNNNNNNNNNNNNNNNNNNNNNNNNNNNNNNNNNNNNNNNNNNNNNNNNNNNNNNNNNNNNNNNNNNNNNNNNNNNNNNNNNNNNNNNNNNNNNNNNNNNNNNNNNNNNNNNNNNNNNNNNNNNNNNNNNNNNNNNNNNNNNNNNNNNNNNNNNNNNNNNNNNNNNNNNNNNNNNNNNNNNNNNNNNNNNNNNNNNNNNNNNNNNNNNNNNNNNNNNNNNNNNNNNNNNUAUUUAUAGGCAUAAGUGGAGCUAGGAGAGUCCAAAUGAGGUGCGGUUUUCGGCCACGCGAUCAUGAUCGAACGCUCUAGGACAUGGAGCAGAGUUUGGUGGAGUUUGGGCCAAAAUGGAGGGGUGUUGGGCUGCAACACACAUGAGGCCUUUUCGGUCCCUCGGUUAACCGUUGGAGUAUCAAAUGGAGUCCAGAUGAUACGAAACUUGACAGGCGGUCUACCGAUAGUAAACCAAGGCCGCUUGGCAAGUCCCGGUCCAAUCCGAAAAUGUUUAAUCCCCACACACGAAAGAAAGCUAGAAAUGACCACCGGAGGAGAACGAAGCACCGGAAUGCAAAACAGACAACAAGGAAAAUGCUCAAAUGCACGAGAUGAACACGUAUGCGAAUGCAAUGCACAUGAUGACAUGAUAUGAGAUGCAUGAAAGCGAAAACAACACAUGGAGAGAAAGACCCGAACCCGAGAAAUAAAUAUAACUUAACGCCGGAAACGGCAAGAGUUGGAGUACAAAUAGGGAAAGUUACAUCCGGGGUGUUACAGUGCACUCGUAGAGUGAGAGAUUGCAACUAUAGAUUUUUGACACCAAGUCCUCCACAAGACAUUGCCCACCAUUCAUGUAAUCCUUCCUGACCUAGAAGAAUAAUCUCAUCCACUUAUUAAUUUCUUCAAAAAUCCAUUCAGGAGCAUCAACAACCAUCAGGUGAUGUACCAGUCUUGCUGCCACCACCUAUUUGAUGAGGACAAGCCGUCCUUGCCUCUAAAUCAGACCACACUGCCACACCGGAAUGAAGUACUUAGCUUGAUCUGACAUUGAUUGCCAAUCAGCUUUGGAUAAUUUCUUGAUUGCCAGAUGCAACUUGAUACGUCUCCAACGUAUCUAUAAUUUUUGAUUGUUCCAUGCUAGUAUAGUAUUAAUCUUGGCUGUUUAUUAUGCAAUUAUAUAUCAUUUUUUGAGACUAACCUAUUAACCUAGUGCCUAGUGUCAGUUACUGUUUUUUGCUUUUCAGGAAAUCAGUACCAAACGGAUCCAAACGCUACGAAGAUUUUUGACGAUUUUUUCUGGACCAGAAGGGACCCUAGAAGCUUUGGGAGAAGACCUGCGGAGCCACAGGGAGCGACAAGCCCGCAGGGUGCACCCCCAUGCUUGUGGGCCCCUCGUGGCAUCUCUUGACCUAAUUCCACUUCUAUAAAUUUCCAAAUAUUCACAAUACAUUUAUAACCCACAAGUAUAGGGGAUCACAACAGUUUUCGAGGGUAGAGUAUUCAACCCUAAUUUAUAGAUUCGACACAAGGGGAGCCAAAGAAUAUUUGAAGGUAUUAACAGCUGAGUUGUCAAUUCAACCACACCUGGAGAUUAAUUAUCUGCAGCAAAGUGAUCAGUAGCAAAGUAGUAUGAUAGUUUUGAUAAUAGUAGCAACAGUAAAGGUAACAGUAAUAGUGAUAGCAAUAGUUUUGUAGCAAGUGUAACAAUGACGAUAGCAGUAGUAACUUAGCAAGAACAAUAUAGGAUAAAUUCGUAGGCAUUGGACCGGUGACUUGUUGGAUGAUAUUCAUCAUGAGACAGUUAUAACCUAGGGCGAUACGACACUAGCUCCAGUUCGUCAAUAUAAUGUAGGCAUGUAUUCCGUAAAUAGUCAUACGUGCUUAUGGAAUGAACUUGCAUGACAUCUUUUGUCCUACCCUCCCGUGGCAGCGGGGUCCAUAUUGGAAACUAAGGGAUAUUAAGGCCUCCUUUUAAUAGAGAACUGGAACAAAGCAUUAACACAUAGUGAAUACAUGAACUCCUCAAACUACGGUCAUCACCGAGAGUGGUCCCGGCUAUUGUCACUCCGGGGUUGCCGGAUCAUAACACGUAGUAGGUGACUAUAACUUGCAAGAUCGGAUCUAGAACAUGGAUAUAAUGGAGAUAACAUAAACGGUUCAGAUCUGACAUCAUGGCACCUCGGCCCAAAGUGACAAGCAUUAAGCAUGGCAAAGUCAUAGCAACAUCAAUCUAAGAACAUAGUGGAUACUAGGGAUCAAGCCCUAACAAAACUAACUCGAUUACAUGAUGAAUCUCAUCCAACUACUCACCGACCAGCGAGCCUAUGAAGGAAUUACUCACUCCCGGUGGGGAGCAUCAUGGAAUUGGCGAUGGAGAAGGGUUGGUGAUGACGAAGAAUGAAGACCCCUCUCUCUGGAGCCCCAAACGGACUCCAGAUCUGGCCUCCCAAUGAAGAACAGGAGGUGACGGUAGCUCCGUCUCGUGGAUCACGAUAAUUGUUUCUCCCUGAUUUUUUUCUGGAAAAAUAGGAUUUUAUAGCGUCGGUUUUAGGGUUUGCGGGGCCUCCAGGUGGGGACAACACACCUGGGCGUGCCAGGAGCGGGGGCCGCGCCCUGGUGGGUUGUGCCCACCCAGGUGCCCCUCUCUGAUAGGUCUUGGCUCCAGGAAUUUUUAUAUAUUAUAUAAAAAUUCCUCGCAAAGUUUCGUUCCAUUCUGAGAACUUUUAUUUCUGCACAAAAACAACACCAUGGUAGUUCUAUUGAAAACAACAUCAGUCCGGGGUUUGUUUCAUUCAAAUCAUGCAAAUUAGAGUCCAAAACAAGAGGAAAAGUGUUAGGAAAAGUAGAUACGUUGGAGAUGUAUCAACUCCCUAAAGCUUAAACCUUUGUUUGUUCUCAAGCAAUUCAGUUGAUAAACUGAAAGUGAAAAAGAAAAACUUUUACGAACUCUUUUGGUCUUGUUUGCAUAAAUAAGCUUAAAGAGCACCCAGGUUUUCAGCCAACAUUAUAACUAACCAUGCCGACAAUAACUCUUAAAGAUUAUAUUAACUCAUAUCAAUGACAUAAUCAGCUAGCGAGCAAUAAUAAGACAUCUCAAACGACAACACGUUGUCAAAACAACCAUGAUAUAAUAUGACAAUACUGGUAUCUCGCUAGCCCUUUCUGAGACCGCAAAAAUGCAGAGCACCUCCGAAAUCCAAGCAAUGACUAAACAUUGUAAUUCAUGGUAGAAAAGAUCCAGUCAUGAUGCACCCAACAUUAGCUACACACAACGCAUAAUUCAUGACAGCUAUGCUCUCAGGUUCUAGCGCUUGUUUAGAAGGUGAUGACACAACAUAAAAGUAAAUAGCUCAAGUUUCUAAAACAAGCGCGAUGGAAUCGGAAUCCCUAUUACCAUCCUUUUAUUUGCGUUUUUGAGUUCGGGACUCGGAAUCCCUAUUACCGUCCUUUUCUCAUGCGAUGGCGAGUGAAUAAACACUCGACUUGAGAAUAACCCGCUUAGCAUGGAAGAUACCGACCACCUCCUGUCGUUCCAUGAACGAUCCAGGCACACAAAAAGGAUAUAUUUUUAGAAGUUUUUAGAGGUGGCACAUGCAAAUUUACUUAGGACGGCAGGGUAAUACGGCAUAUAGGUACGUAUGGUGGACUCAUCUGGAAUAACUUUGGGUUCAAGAUUUUUGAUGUACAAGCAGAAUUCUCACUUAGUACAGGCGAAGGCUAGCAAUUAGAUUGAGAAGCGGCCAACUAGAGAGCAACAACGAUCAUGAACAUGCAUUAUGCAUAAGUAACAUUGGACACUAGCAUGAGUAUGAUAUGAUCACCAUGAACAUAAAUAUCAUAUAGGCUAUGUUGGUUUUGAUUCAACUACAUGCAUGAACAUGUGCCAAGUCAAGCCACUUGAACAUCCAGAGGAGGAUACCAUAUCAUCAUACUACAUCACGAUCAUUUUAACGCAAUGUUGAUAUCCAAGAUAAAUCAUUAUUCACUCCCAGCUACUUAUGCAUGGCAUGAGAAACUAUAAUCUCUAAUUUUCAUUGCAAACAUGUUUAAUCAUAAUGGGCUGAAUCAUGGAUACUAGGUUAAACAUAUUUACACAAACAGAACAAGUCGAGUUCAUACCAGUUUCUCUCUGCCACGACCAGUUCAUCAAUGUCGCCAUUAUUGCCUUUCACUUGCACGACCGAACGAUGUGAAAAUAAUAAUAGUGCAAGAGUGCCAUGGACUAAGAUGGAAUCUGCAAACAUUUUAUUCAAUAGGAGAAGACAAGGUAAAAUGGGCUCUUUAUUAGUUCAACAGUUAUUUAUAUGAGAGCCAUUCAACAUUUUCAUCGUGGUCUUCUCCUUGGUACAACUCGAAUAAAAAGGAAAGAAAUUUAGAGAAACACACUGAAAUGUUUUUGGAGUUUUUGGUUUUCUUGAUCAAGCAAAUAAAAGGGGAAAGCAAAAAUGAGAAAAACUAUUUACACGGGAAAGCUCCCAACAAGCAAAAGAAGAACAAGGAAAUCUUCUUGGGUUUUAUUUUUAAUAUUACUACUAAGCAUACAUAGAAAGUGAAUUAACUACAACUAAUUUUCUUGGUUUUUCUAAAGUUUUCCAGACACACAAGAAGAAAGCAAGAAAAUAAAUCUAAGCGUGGAUGAUACAAUGAAAAAGUGUGAACACCGACAAGAUGAAUAAAUGGACAUGAAUGUAAUGUCGGGAAACACAUACUCCCCCAAGCUUAGUCUUUUGGCCUAACUUGGUAAUCAAUCAGUAGCCUGGAUGGUAGUAGGGGUACUAAGGAGCGGGCAUCCACUGAUCCCACUGCUGAGGCUCUUCCUCUGCCUCUGCAGCAGCCUGAGCGUUCCGGUAGGCGAUGAUGUCCGUAGGCAUAAUCCUAUAUCCGCCCUAGCAACAGAAUCAAACAAAGCAGGAGCAGGCAGUGGAACAAUAUCACGAGUUUCAAUGCUAAAAACCAAGUUAUAAGGAAUAGGAAUGUCAGGAGAUCUAUCAUCAGUAAAAUGGUGGUGAUCCAUGGCAGCACGGUCUAGGUAAACCUUGGUCAGAGGGUAAUCAUGAGGGCGUAUCUCAACCUCAAAGUGAGCCGCCAAACGAGUAGCAUAAAUCCCACCAUGAAUUUUACCCUCGGAUUUAUUAAGGUGGAGGCGACGAGCCACAAUGGCUCCCAAGCUAUAAGUGUCGUUGCCCUCUAUGCACGACGCAGCAAGGUCUGGUGAGCUGAGCGCACCCACCUUCUCCCUAGCAAGCAAGCAUUUUGCAAUGAAAAAGAGCAAAGUAAUGAACCGCAGGAAAAUGCAAGCCAACGGCAGUGAUAGCUGACACCCCUCUCUCAUCUCCCAUUAUCAAAGUGCGAUAAAAAAAUCUCAAACUCCGCCGGCCUAGGCUCGGCUAAGCUCCCAUCAGAAGGGAUCAUGCAUAUGUCACAAAAUUCAGUAAGUGGUAGCUGAUGGUUUUCAGCAUAUAAAUCAAAGCUCACUUCAGGAGGAUUAUUCCUAGGCAGCAAAGUAAAGUUUUGAACAAAGAUGUUUGUGAGGAUUUGGUGCUGUUCACACUCAUCUGCGAUGAAGUCGGUGAGGCCGGCAUUAGCAGCAUAUUGUGCGAACUCCUUAAGGAUUCCAGCCUCUUCCAGGAACGGGGUGUGCGGUCAUUCACACGAUCGUACUUCCGCCAACCUCCGAGGAUGAACAUCACUAUCAAACGACUCCCCAAUAACACCCUUGGAGUUAUUCUUAGAGCCAAACUUCCUAAAGAUAUUCAUGGUUUUCCUAUGAACAAAAUUCUGAAUUUUAUUAGCCCACAAAAUUUUCUCAACAAAACUUCACAAAAAUGAUACCAACUACUCAAAGGGAUACAUAGAGGCCAUAACAAGCAUUCAAACUGCUUAGAACACUAAGAAUUCAACAUGCAAGCUCAUCUACAACAGCACCAAGAGUAGCUAAUUAUUCAAAAUAUAACCCACUAAAACAAAAAUUAAUUGGACAAAAGGUGGAGACACAUACCAAGCAACAAUCCCCCGAAACAGUUUCGAAAACGGAGCUUCAAGCAAAGAGAUUGAAAUCCGCGGGUUUGAGAGCAAGAACACAGGAGAGAGAGAGAGAGAGAGAGAGAGAGAGAGAGAGAGCAAUGGAGAUUUUUUUCUGGAGGUAAGUGAUGAAGUGGUGUAAAGAGAUAAGUGAGGGGGCCCACGUGGGGACCACAACCCACCAGGCGCGCUUGGGGGUCCUGGCGCGCCUGGGUGGGUUGUGCCCGCUUGGUGCACCUCCCUCUGAUGUUAUUUGCACCAAAAAUUCAGAAAUAUUCAGAAAAAAUCGUAUUAAAUUUUCAGGGCAUUCUAAGAACUUUUAUUUUUUGGCCAUUUUUUUGCACGGGAAAUUCAGAAAAUAGACAAAACAUGGCAUUUUAUUUUAUUUAACUAAUAAAAACAGCAAACUAAAAGUAGGGACAAAAGGUAGUGCUUACUAAAUUCAUCAACUUCAUACCGCUCAAAAAUGAUACAUUAAUAAAGUUGAUCAAGUCUUAUUAACAACCACUUUCGAUUAGCAUGAAACCGAAGAACUUUCGUAAAUCACUUAAUUACCUCAAUGGGGAUAUGAAUGUACCCAACAAUAAGCAUUUCACAUUUAUUUUUAACAAUAGGUAGAGGUAUUUGAAAACUUCCAAUAGUGAUUGUCGGAGAUUUUUCAAUAACAUUAAUACCAUUCACUUGGAAUUGUUUCUUCGAAAAGUGCACCGUAUGCUCAUUACCAUUGUUAUAAAAAGUGACCUUGCUUUUAUUGCAAUCAAUAACAGCCCCUGCAGUAUUCAAGAAGGGUCUACCAAGGAUAAUCGACAUGCUGUCGUCCUCGGGCAUCUCAAGUAUAACAAAGUCAGUCAAAAUAGUAACAUUAGAAACAACAACAGAAACAUCCUCACAGAUACCGAUAGGUAUGGCAGUUGAUUUAUUAGCCAUUUGCAAAUAUAUUUCAGUAGUUGUGAGUUUAUUCAAAUAAAGUCUUUUAUAUAAAGAGAAAGGCAUAACACUAACACCAGCUCCUAAAUCACACAAAGCAGUUUUCACAUAAUUCUUUUUGAUAGAGCAAGGUAUAGUUGGAAUUCCCGGAUCUCCAAGUUUUUUAGGUACUUCAUUUAUAAAAGUAUAAUUAGCAAGCAUAGUGGAGAUUUCAGCUUCCGAUAUUUUUAUUUUAUUUGUGAUGAUAUCUUUCAUAUACUUUGCAUAAGGAGGCAUUUUCAAGAUAUCAGUCAAGCGAGUACGCAAAAGACUGGCCUCAACAUUUCAGCAAAGUAUUCAAAUUAUUCAUCAUCAUUCUUUUUAGUUGACUCAGGUGGAAAAGGCAUAGGUUUUUGAACCCACAGUUCUCUUUCUUUACCGUGUUUUCUAGCAACAAAGUCCCUUUUAGCAUACCUUUUAUUCUUAGGUUAUGGGUUAUCAAGAUCAACAGGUGGUUCUAUCUCAACAUCAUUGUCUGGUUCUUUAUUAUUUGGUUGAGAGUCUUUAUGAACAUCAACAUUAUAUUUUUCAUUAUCACUAGGUGAGUGCUCAUUACCAGAUUGAGUUUCAGCAUCAGAGAUAGAAACUUCAUUAUCAUUAUCAGGAGGUUUUUCUAUUUCAGGUUCAUUAUGAGCAUGCAAAGUCCUAUCAUUUUUCUUCUUCUUUAUAGAUGAACUAGGUGCACUUGUGUUAGCUCUUUGUGAAUCUUGUUCAAUUCUUUUUGGAUGUCCCUCAGGAUAAAGUGGUUCCUGGGUCAUUUUACCUCCUCUAGUUGCAACUCUAACAGCAAAGUCAUGCAUAUUAUUAUUCAUUUCAUCAAGCAAUUCUCUUUGAGAUUUAGCAACUUGUUCUAACUGAGUUUGAACCAUAGAAGCAUGCUUUCCAACACCUCUAACAUCAUUUGAUAUUCUAAAUAACAAGUCACUCAAGCGAGCAAUCAUAUCAGAACUGUAUUUCAAUUGUUUCAUAACAUUUGCAUUGAAGUGAUCUUGUUUUCGAAUAUAGUUUUCAAACUCAUAAAGGCAUUGGCUAGGAUGCAUAUUGUGAGGAUUGUAAUUAUCAUUGAACUUCAUAAGAGAAUUUACCUCUACCACCUUAGGAAGUGGUGGUGUAUUAAGCCCAUGUACUUCUUCAAUAGGGGGAAAUUUUUUAACAUCCUCAGCUUUAAUACCUAUUUCUUGCAUAGAUUUCUUUGCCUCUUGCAUAUCUUCAUGACUGAGAUAUAAUAUACCCCUCUUCUUCGGAGUGGGUUUAGCCUGUGAUUCAGGAAGAGUCCAAUCAUCAUAAUUUUUCAAUAUAUUAUUCAAUAAUUCUUUAGCUUUUCCAACAGUUUGUUCUCUGAAAACACAGUCAGCACAACUAUCUAGGAAGUCCCUAGAAGCAUUGGUUAGUCCAUUAUAGAAGAUAUAAAGUAUUUCAUUUUUCUUAAGAGGAUGAUCAGGCAAAGCAUUAAGUAAGUGGCAAAGUCUCCCCCAAGCUUGUGGGAGACUCUCUUCUUUAAUUUGCACAAAGUUAAAUAUUUCCUGCAAGGCAACUUGUUUCUUAUGAGCAGGAAAAUAUUUUUCAGAGAAGUGAUAAAUCAUAUCCUGGGGACUACGCACACAACCAAGAGCAAGAUUAUUGUACCAAGCUUUAGCAUCACCCUUUAAUGAGAAAGGAAAUAAUUUGAGAAUGAAGUAAUAGCGAGUUUUCUCAUCAUGAGUAAAAAGGGUAGCUAUGUCAUUCAACUUAGUAAGAUGUGCCACAACAGUUUUAGUUUCAUACCAUGGAAAGGAUAAAAUUCAACCAAAGUAAUUAACUCUGGAUCGACAGAGAAUUCAUAAUCCUUAUCAUCAAUAAAGAUAGGUUAAGUAGCAAACUUAGGAUCACAUUUCAUUCUAGCAUUCAGAGAUUUUUCUUUAUACUUGCAUAAUAAUUUCUCUAGAUCAUCUCUAUCUCUGCAAGAAAGAAUAUCUCUAGUUGUUUCCUCACUCAUAACAUAACCUUCCGGUACCUUAGGCAAUUCAUAUCUAGGAGGGCUAGUUCUAGCAGGCAUUUCAGGAGUUUCAGUUUCAAGCUCAUCAUCAGAUUCAACAACAUCAUGUUGUAUAACUCUAGCAAUUUGUUUAUCAAGAAAGUCACCAAGUGGCACAUCAUCAUUAAGCAAUGUACUAGCAUCAUCAUAAGAAUUAUCCAUAGCAGAGGUAGCAUCAUCAAUAACUUGCGACAUAUCAGAAUUAAUAGCAUGUGGUGGUGUUGCAAGUUUACUUAUAACAGAAGGUGAAUCUAAAGAAGAACUGGAUGGCAGUUCCUUACCUCCCCUCGUCUUUGAGGGAAAUAUCUUGGUCUUAGCAUCCUUCAGAUUCUUAACAGUGAUAAUAUGGUAAUAAUCCCAAGUGACUCAACAAAUAUAGCUAUGCUCCCCGGCAACGACGCCAGAAAAAGGUCUUGAUAACCCACAAGUAUAGGGGAUCACAACAGUUUUUGAGGGCAGAGUAUUCAACCCAAAUUUAUAGAUUCGACACAAGGGGAGCCAAAGAAUAUUUGAAGGUAUUAGCAGCUGAGUUGUCAAUUCAACCACACCUGGAGAUUAAUUAUCUGCAGCAAAGUGAUCAGUAGCAAAGUAGUAUGAUAGUUUUGAAAAUAGUAGCAACAGUAACGGUAACAGUGAUAGCAAUAGUUUUGUAGCAAGUGUAACAAUGAUGAUAGCAGUAGUAACUUAGCAAGAACAAUAUAGGAUAAAUUCGUAGGCAUUGGAUCAGUGACUUGUUGGAUGAUAUCCAUCAUGAGACAGUUAUAACCUAGGGCGAUACGACAUUAGCUCCAGUUCAUCAAUAUAAUGUAGGCAUGUAUUCCGUAAAUAGUCAUACGUGCUUAUGGAAUGAACUUGCAUGACAUCUUUUGUCCUACCCUCCCGUGGCAGCGGGGUCCAUAUUGGAAACAAAGGGAUAUUAAGGCCUCCUUUUAAUAGAGAACCGGAACAAAGCAUUAACACAUAGUGAAUACAUGAACUCCUCAAACUACAGUCAUCACCGGGAGUGGUCCCGGCUAUUGUUACUCCGGGGUUGCCGGAUCAUAACAUGUAGUAGGUGACUAUAACUUGCAAGAUCGGAUCUAGAACAUGGAUAUAAUGGUGAUAACAUAAAUGGUUCAGAUCUGAAAUCAUGGCACCCGGGCCCAAAGUGACAAGCAUUAAGCAUGGCAAAGUCAUAGCAACAUCAAUCUAAGAACAUAGUGGAUACUAUGGAUCAAGCCCUAACAAAACUAACUCAAUUACAUGAUGAAUCUCAUCCAACUCCUCACCGACCAGCGAGCCUACGAAGGAAUUACUCACUCCCGGUGGGGAGCGUAAUGGAAUUGGCGAUGGAGAAGGGUUGGUGAUGACGAAGAACGAAGAUCCCCCUCGCCGAAGCCCCAAACGGACACCAUAUGUGGCCUCCCGAUGAAGAACAUGAGGUGACGGCGGCUCCGUCUCAUGGAUCACGAUAAUUGUUUCUCCCUGAUUUUUUUCUAGAAAAUAAGGAUUUUAUAGCGUCGGUUUCAGAUUCCGCGGGGCCACCAGGUGGGGACAACCCACCUGGGCGUGCUAGGAGAGGGGGGCGCACCCUGGUGGGUUGUGCCCACCCAGGUGCCCCUCUCCGAUAGGUCUUGGCUCCAGAAAUUCUUAUAUAUUAUAUAAAAAUUCCUCGCAAAGUUUUGUUCCAUUCCGAGAACUUUUAUUUCUGCACAAAAACAACACCAUGGUAGUUUUGCUGAAAACAGCGUCAGUCCGGGGUAAGUUUCAUUCAAAUCAUGCAAAUUAUAGUCCAAAACAAGAGGAAAAGCAUUAGGAAAAGUAGAUACGUUGGAGACAUAUCAUACAUUAAAGAUCCACCCAAAAUACUUUUUCCGCCGCCGCAAUUUUCUGUUCUUCGGAGAUCCCAUCUGGGGACCUUUUUCGAUAAUCUGUCAGAGGGGAAAUCGAUCACGGAGGGCCUCUACGUCAACCUUGCUACCCUUUUGAUGAUGUGUGAGUAGUUUACCACAGACCUAGGAUCCAAAGCUAGUAUCUAGACGACUUCUUCUUUCUCUUUGAUCUUCAAUACAAUGUUCUCCUCGAUGUUCUUGGAGAUCUGUUUGAUGUAAUCCUUUUUUGCGGUUUGUUUGUUGGGAUCUGAUGAAUUCUGGGUUUAUGAUCAGAUUAUUCAUGAAUAUUAUUUGAGUCUUUUUUGAUACAUGAUUGUUAUUGCUUUGUAUUUCUCUCUGAUCUAUUCAUUUGGUUUGGCCAACUAGAUUGAUUUAUCUUGCAUUGGGAGAGGUGCUAUCUGAUGGGUUUGAUCUUGCAGUGUUCAAUCCCAGUGAUAGAAUGGGACAUGCCACAUAUUUGUAUCCAUGCCAUUAAGGAUAAAAGUAUGGGGUUUAUUCAUAUUGAUUGGGUUUACUUUUUAUAGAUCAUAUCAUCUUGCUUAAGGCAUUACUCCGUUCUUUAUGAACUUAAUACUCUAGAUGCAUGCUGGAUAACGGUUGAUGUGUGGAGUAAUAGUAGUAGAUGCAUGCAUGAGUUGGUAUACUUGUCUCAGACGUGAUGCCUAUAUACAUGAUCAUUGCCUUGAACAUUGUCAUAACUAUGUGCUUUUCUAUCAAUUGCCCAACAGUAAUUUGUUUACCCACCGUAUGAUAUGUUCAAGAGAGAAACCUCUAGUGAAAACUAUGGUCCACGGGUCUAUAUUUAUCAUGUAUUAAAAUCCAAAAAUACCUUGCUACAAUUUAUUUAUCAUUAUUUUAUUUUGUGUUUUUGUUUAUCUAUAUACCAUUAUCAGACUUGAUACUUGCAAUUAACCGCCGAGGGGAUUGACAACCCCCUUGUUCGCGUUGGGUGCAAGAAUUUGUUCUUUUGUGUGUAGGUGUUGUUCACGAGGUCUUGCGUGGUUUUCCUACUAGAUUGUUAACCUUGGUUCUUAACUCAGGCAAAUACUUAUCUCUACUAUACUACAUCAUCCUCUCCUCUUAGGAAAUCCUAACGCAGCUCACAAGUAGCACAACCUUAAGUAUCUGUAGGGGAACUAUCCAAGGUUGUAGUUAAGCAUGCCUGAGACUGGUGUGAUCAGAUUCCUCACCCCUUAUGAUAAUAGCUGAUGACUUUCAAUAAUUUAUGCAUACGACCGAUGCCUCUCCAAAAGCAUGAAGGCUGCUCCUGACAAAUGACACGUCUUGCGAUGAUGGCUGAAUGAAGAGGGCAACAUUGUCAACAUAAAUAGAUAGCCGCUGAGUUGCCAAGAUGCCCGAGAAGGUACUGAUAACCCCCACCUCCAUCACUUUACUGAUAGAUCAGUCAAGGCCUCCAUCGCCAUGACAAAUAAGGGGAAGAUGGGAUCCCGUUGGUGCAACCCACGCGCGUGUGCAAUUUUCCUUCCGUGGACGCCAUUUACCACCACCUCGGUGCCAGAAGAUUGUAAUGGGAUGGCAAUCCAUCUCAUCCAAGUCAUCCCAAAGCCCUUGAUGCACAAUACUUCAAAGGGGAAAGGCCAUGAAAGUGACUCGAAUGCUCUUGAUAUGUCAAGUUUCAGGAACAAGGCCACCUCUUUGUGUGCAUGAAUCUUCCUAGCAACCUGUCUAAUUAGAAUGAAGUUGUCAUGGAAGUUUCUUCCUUGUACGAAGGUCGACUGGUUGAGCCCUACAAUCUCUUGCAUGCACCGCCUAGCUUGAUUUCCAAGCAUCGUCGCGAAUAGUUUAGCAAAGCUAUGCACGAGGCUAAUCAGCCAGAAGUGACCUACCUCCUCGGCAUCUAGUUUCUUUGGUAUGAGAACGAUGAGGGCCUUGUUUAGUUUCCUGAUACCAGGACCAUCUCCCACAUACAGCUUCAACAAGAUGGACAUUAUGUCGUGCUUAAUUAUAGGCCAAGAUUUGUAAUAAAAAGCCCACUGGCAAUUCCUUUAUCACCUCCGAAACCUCCUUCUCUGUAAAUAUGUUGUCUAACUCCUGGAGGUUCAGCUGAUUCAUACCUAGGUAGCCCAAAUCUAAGGUCUGCUCUCUAGCGACGGCAAAGCCAAGAAUAUUCUCAUAAGCCUCCAUAAAAAUUUCUCGUUUUGGCUCUGCUCCGUGAUCACCUUGCUGUCAUGCUUCAGAUGAAGGAUGAAGUUCUUAGACCUCUUGCCAUUGUCCACAUCUUAGAAUAGCUUGGUAUUCGCGCCCUCCUUCAACCAGCGGAUCGGAGACCUUUGCCGAGCAAUGGUCCGCUCAAGCGAUGCUAAUCCAAGGAGUGACAUUUUGAGUGAUCGUCCUAGCCAUAGUUCCUCCAAAAACAAGGCCAUGUUCUCUUGUGCCUGCUCUAGCUUGAAUACUACAUAGUUAGCCACUGCCAUCAUGAUCUUGACAUUGCCGAUUUUCCGUUGACCCCAUGCUUGAAGAGCCACAACUGUGUUCUGAAUAGCGCAUCCAAUCUGUUAAAAGGAUCAACAAUAUUUUCGUCACAUACCCAAGCAUCUCGAACAACGUCUUCAAACCCCUCCAUCUUGUCCCAGGAGAACUCAAAGUGAAACCUCUUCUUGGAACAGAAUGGGGCGGUCAUGGAAAGGUGUAGUGGCGCGUGAUAUGAGACACCUGUAGACAAAGCUUGUAGAAUGCAGUCAGGGUUGUCAAGCUCCCAGUCCAUCGAGACUAAUAGCCGGUCAAUCUUAGUCAUCAUAGGGGAGUCACACUUAUUAGUUCAUGUGAACCUUCUUCCAAGCAUGCAUAACUCUUUUAGCUCAUGAUCAUCCAAAAAGCUCCUAUACUUAUUGAUGGUAUUGUGAUUUAAGUUAGAAUUUGUCUUCUCUGUCACCCUGAAAAUCAUGUCAAAGUCACCCCAAAUCACCACAACCCCGAGUAAACAAUGCACCUAUCCCUUGGCUCCUCCAAGAAUUGGAACUUAAGAUCAUCUCCUUAUGGACCGUAGACACAAGAGAUCUACCACUUGCUGCCAUCUUUAGUGUGCACAAGGCCUGUGAGGAAGCUAGUGUUGAGGACAAUGUUAUCAAUCAACAUCCAAUAAAUGUCCCACACAAGAAUAAUGCCACCAUGUGUUUCAAUCGUCAGUAAGUAAGAAAAUCUGUCCAUGGAUGGUCCAAGACAUUGCAUAACAAUGAAAUUGUCAAUUACAUCAAGUUUGGUCUCUUGAGGGCACACCGAAUUCUCCUUAAUAGACUGAAAUAACUCCCUAACUGCGUUGCUCUUUGCAGGAUUGUUUAGGACAUGAACAUUCCAAUGUAAUACUUCAAGGUUUAUAUCCAUAAGGAACGAGAACUACCAUCCACCGAACAUGCACCAAUUAGUGUGCACUGACCAUCGAUGUUACAUUCACCUGGAGCUCAUCUCUAGAUGGGAGAGAUCUGCCAAAGAUUGUAGUGAUGACUCAAACAUGUUGCUCGCAUAGGGGUGAAUCAAAUAGUCCAAUACAAUCUCCAAGGCUCGCGGAAGCACAUGCCCGAGGAUACCUGAGACUCAGUUGGAUCGUCAUCACCUUGCCUACUGAUACGUCUCCAACGUAUCUAUAAUUUAUGAAGUAUUCAUGCCAUGUUUACAACAAUUUUAUAUGGUUUUGGUAUGAUUUACAUGGAACUAACCCGGACUGACGUUGUUUUCAGCAAACUACCAUGGUGUUGUUUUUUUUGCAGAAAUGAAAGUUCUCCAAAUGAGCUGAAACUUUCUGAUGAUUUUUUUGGAACAAAAGAGACCUCCGAAGCUUCGUGGGAGGGAUAGACGAGCCACGAGGAGGGCACAACCCACCAGGGCACGCCUGGUGGGCCUGGCUUGCCCCGGUGGGUUGUGCUCACCUCGAGGCCCAUCUUAGCAUGAAACCAACGCCAAAAAAAUCCUAUAAAUAGAGAAACCAUCAGGGGUUAACCUAGAUCAGAAGUUCCGCCACUGCAGGCCUCUAUAGCCACCGAAAACCAAUCUAGACCCUGUUUCAGCACCCCGCCGGAGGGGGGAAUCAUCUCCGGUGGCCAUCUUCAUCAUCGCGGCGGCCACCAUGAUGAGGAGGGAGUAGUCCACCCUCGGGGCUGAGGGUUUGUACCAGUAGCUAUGUGUUUAAUCUCUCUCUCUCUCGUGUUCUUGAGAUGUCAUGAUCUUGAUGUAUCGCGGGCUUUGUUAAUAUAGUUAGAUCAUAUGGUGUUUUCCCCUCUCUAUCUUGUGAUGAAUUGAGUUUCCCCUUUGAGAUUUCGUUUUAUCGGAUUGAAUACUUUUAGGGAUUUGAGAGUACUUGAUAUAUGUCUUGCAAAUGAAUACUCGUGGUGACAAUGGGGUAUUAUUUUGAUUCACUUGAUAUAUGUUUUGGCACUCAACUCGCAGAUUCCAGAGGUGACAUUGGGGUAAUCUACGCAUAGGGGUUGAUGCACGUUCUUGUCUUUGUUUCUCUGGUAGAAAUCUUGGGACACUCUUUGAAGUUCUUUGUGUUGGAUUGAGUAUUAUGAAUCUGAAAUUAUUUGGUGUUAUUUUAGUACGAACUCUUGGAUAGAUCGAUCGGAAAGAAUAGCUUCGAGGUGGUUUCGUACCCUACAAACGAUUUCUCUUAUGUUCUCCGCUAGAUAGGAACUCUGGAGUGAUUCUUCAUCGCACUUUGAGGGGUGGUUAUAUGAUCCAAUUAUAUUAGCACUGUUGAGAGAUUGCACAAGCGAAAGUAAGGACUCUAGGCCUCAUUUUCAAGCAUUGCAAUACCGUUUUUGUGCCCAUUUACUAUUUGCUACCUGACUGUUUUUAUUUAUUUAGAUUAUAAAAAUAUACUUCUGCCAUCAAUAUUACACUUUUAUCACCAUCUCUUCACCGAACUAGUGCACCUAUACAAAUUACAAUUGUAUUUGGUGUGCUGGGGACACAAGAGACUUUCUAUUAUUUGGUUGCAGGGUUGCUUGAGAGAGACCAUCUUCAUCCUACACCUCCCACGGAUUGAUAAACCUUAGGUCAUCCACUUGAGGAAAAAUUGCUACUGUCCGACAAAACUCUGCGCUUGGAGGCCCAACACGUGUCUACAAGAAUAACGUUGCGUAGUAGACAUCAAGCUCUUUUCUGGUGCCGUUGUCAGGGAGGUUAGGUAAGCAGCACUCACACCCCGUCAACGAAGCUCUUUUCUGGCACCGUUGCCCGGGAGGUGAGUGCUUGAAGGUAUAUCUUUAGAUCUUGCAAUUGAAUCUUUUAGUUUCUUGUUUUAUCACUAGUUUGGUUUAUAAAAGAAAACUACAAAAAAUGGAAUUGAGGUUGCAUCAUAUUAUUCAUCUUUAUAAUGUCUUCCGUGAAAUGAUGGAAAGUAAAAUUGUGUUCAAUUGAUAGAAGAAGAAUUCAAUAAAAUGUUUGGCAUAAAUGAUGAGCAUGAUUGCAAUGUUGUUAGUAUGAAUUCUUUGAAUAUCCAUGAUGCUAAUGAUAUGCAAAGCCAUAAGCUUGGGCAUGCUAUGUUCGAUGAAGAUGAUAUUUUUACUCCUCUAAGAUUUGAUGUGAAAAUUUGUUAUAAUGAUUGCAUGCCUCCUAUUUAUGAUGAAUAUAAUGACGAAAGUGGAUUUGGAGAGGUCAUGACUUUAUUUAUUGAUGAAUUCACCAUUUUGGAUGAGGCUUCAAUUGACUAUGAUAACAAAGUUGAUACCUAUGAUGAUUAUGGUGAUGACAUGUAUGCUAUAAAGAAUAAUGAUAACCAUGAAACUUGUCAUCAUGAUUUUAAUUUUCAAUCACAUGAUAGUUAUUUUGUUGAGUUUGCUCCCACUACUAUUCAUGAGAAUAAAUUUGCUUAUGUGGAGAGUAAUAAAAUUUCUAUGCUUGUGGAUCAUGAAAAGAAUGCUUUAUAUGAUAGUUAUAUUGUUGAAUUCAUUCAUGAUGCUACUGAAAAUUAUUACGAGGGAGGAACUUAUGCUUGUAGGAAUUGCAAUAAUAUCAAGUUUCCUCUCUAUGUGUUGAAAAUAUUGAAGUUAUGCUUGUUUUGCCUUCCUAUGCUAGUUGAUUCUUGCUCCCAUAGAUUGUUUUCUCACAAAAUCCCUAUGCGUAAGAAGUGGGUUAGGCUUAAAUGUGCUUGUCAUGUGAUUCAUGAUGCUCUCUUUGUGCUUCAAUUCUUAUCUUUUAUGUGAGCAUCAUUGAAAUCAUCAUGCCUAGCUAAAAAAGCAUUAAAGAAAAGCGCUUGUUGGCAGACAACCCGACACUUUUACCUACUGUUUUUGUGUGUUCACAUGAUUAGGCUACUGUAGUAAUCUGUUUUAUUUCUUUCAUUUCAAUAAAGUGCCAAGUAAGACCUUUGGGAUGGCCUAUGGUGAUAGUUGAUUUGAUCUUGCUAAAAAACAGAAACUUUUGCGCUCAGGAAAACAAUUCUAAUUUUUAACAGAAGCAUGAUAAAAUGCUGUUUCUUUUUGCAGAAGAUUAAUAGACAUAUUACCCAGGCUUUCGUAUUUUUUCAUAAUUUUUUGAGUAGCAGAAGUAUGGUUGGAGUACAGAUUACUAUAGGUUGUUCUGUUUUUGACAGAUUCUGUUUUCAAUGCAUGGUUUGCUUGUUUUCUAGUUUUAUGGCUUACAUUGCUCAAUAUAAAUUGUGGAAAUGAUAUGCUACAGUAGGCAUUGUGUGAUAACAAUUAUGAAUCUUGUCUUUGACAGUACCAAAAGUGAAAUGGUUUGCUCUUUAUCAUACCAACCUAUCUCACAAAGUUCCGUUAAGUUUUGUGUGAUUGAAGUUUUCAAGUUUUGGGUGAGAUGUCGAUAUGUGGAAAAUAAGGAGUGAAAAGAUCCUAAUCUUGGGGAUGCCCAAGGCACCAAGGUAAUAUUCAAGGAAAAUCCAAGCAAAUAAACUUGGGGAUGCCCCGGAAGGCAUCCCCUCUUUCGUCUGCAACAUUAUCGGUAACCUCACUUGGAGCUAUGUUUUCAUUCGUCACAUGAUAUGUGUUUUGCUUGGAGAGUCAUUUUAUUUUGUUAGGAUUUGCUUGCUGUUAUUUAGAAUAAUGUUUUGCAUCUUUUAUUUCAAUAAAAGUGGCAAUGAUAGCCUUUGCCAUGCUUAUUUUGCAAGUAUACAUGUUGCUGUUUGAAAAGAGAAAGUUUACCGCUGUUGAAAAAAUUCCCUAGAAAAAUUAGAAUGUGAUAAAAUGUUGAAACUUUUUGCAAAAUUAUAUCUGAUAAAUUUUAUACAGUGUGGAAAAUUUUCGUAACGUUUGGAGUUAGGGAAGUAUUGAUACUCUUGCAUUCUUUACAUACUGUACUAUUUUGGCAGAUUGCUGUUAUGUUUGCAUUGUUUGCAUAUGUUUGCUUGUUUAAUGAUUCUAUUUGAGGAUAUGAGUAUUAAAUAUGCAGAGGCAUUUAGUAUGAAAUGUUGAAUAAUAAUUUUAGUGAUUUGCUACAGUAGAGAAUGAUAAGGUUUUUGCAUUGGUUUAUACUAACUUAUCUCACGAGUUCUUGUUGAGUUUUGUGUGGAUGAAGCUUUAGAGAUUUAGGAAAACCGUGAUAUGAGAAGAAUUAAGGAGACACGAAAGCUCAAGCCUGGGGAUGCCCAAGGCAUCCCAAGGUAAUAUUUCAAGAAGUCUCAAGCAUCUAAGCUUGGGGAUGCCCCGGUAGGCAUCCCACCUUUCUUCUUCAACAAUUAUCGGUUAGUACUGGUUGAGCCUAAGUUUUUGCUUCUUCACAUGAUGUGUGAUAUUCUUAGAAUGUCAUUUUGUUUUGUUUUUUCUUGCUGUUUUAAUAAAAUACUUAGAUCUGAAAGUUUUCAAAUAAGAGAGAGUCCUCACAUAUCUACCUAUUUACUUAACUACUCGCUUGAUCCUCACUUAUAUCUUUUUGGAGUAGCUUGUCACAUGCUCAUGAUCUUCACUUAUAUCUGUUUGAGCUUAUCAAAAGCAACAUAUGAAAAUUAGUCUCAAAGUGAUAGAUAUCCGCAAAGGAUAUAAUAAAAACUUUCAUGAAGAUCAUUCGACAAAAUAAACUUGAUUCCUCGUAAUAGUUUUGAGAUAUGAUGAUGCGAUAUGUGAGUCAUGUUGAUGAGUAAUUAUGCUUUAAUAAGAAUAUUGGUGUUAUGGUUUGUGAUUCCCUAUGCAAGCAUGAAAGUCAAUAGUUGUGCAAUAAAAUUACAUCCUACUUGUGGUGCAUUAUUCGGUGUUAAUGAUGCUCAAUGCUCUCUUAUGAGAUUAUUUGUUUCUUGGUUGGUCACUUCUCAAUCUUUUGCUAGCCUUCAUUUUGCACUAAGUAUGAUCAUUACUUGUGCAUCCAAAAUCCUUUAAACUAGUUUUGACACAUGAGUCCACUAUACCUACCUAUAUGCGGUAUGCCGUUCUAAGCAAAUUUGUAUGUGCCAUCUCUAAUUUUCAAAAUAAAUUUCUGUUUUGUGUGCUCGUACCGCUCGCGAGGCGGUGAGGGGUGGCCAAUAUUUUCCAUGCUAGAUGUGUUAUUCUCAUGAUGAGUGUUUAUUCACUUGUCAUGGCACGAGAGUAAGGCAAAGGUAUUAGGGAUGCCUAGUCCGGAAAUGAAAAAUGAAUUUACUUUAUGUUGUCAAAUAAUAAAUUCCUUGGAAAGUGUUGGUAUGGAGGGCACUCGUGGAUACGGUUAGCCAUGGAAAGUGAAAGUAUGGUGGAAAAAGGAAUAAACUUUAUUUUCUGUUUGGGAAUUGCCUAUGAUAUAUCUAUCAUGGAAAGUCUUGGGAGCUCUAAGUCGUUUUCGUUGGUGGGAAAAGUAUGCCUCUCAAAAUGUUUUUAUCUCUCAAUUUUCGCUUUAAGCUUUGGCACCUCUACAAAUCCCUACUUCCCUUUGCGAAGGGCGUUUCUGUUACUUUAUGCAAUUUUUAUUUUUAAUUUGAGUCUCCAUCUUCUCUUAUAAACACUACAAAAAAGACACAUCUGUGACAUUUUGGGCCGAACGAAUUUUUUUCUAUCAUGCUUAUGACACUUCUAUGACGAUAAAUGUGACAAAACCUAGUAUCAUCAUAGAUGUGGUGGGCUCCUACUUCUAUGACAAAAAAUCAUGACAGAAAAUGGGCUUUUCGUCCUGGGCGGGCCGGAGAUGCAGCUGCAUGACAUUCUUUGGGCCGUCCUGAUGGAAAAAACCGUGGUAGAAGCGAGGGUGAGGAAAAUAUCAGAGAGUUCCCGGUUACGGUGAGUGGUCGGGGGCCGAGCGAUGCGCGUUUCUCUCGUACACGUACGCACGUGGGUGCGAGGCGUUGGGCUCUAACUGAACCCGAGCGAGGCGUUCACCUACUGAAACCGAGCGAUUGCAUUGCAAGCUACACAUUACUGAACCCGAGCGAUCGAUCGAUGGCUGUUAACUAAACCUGAUCGAGCGAUUCCUUCGCCACACUGCUGCUAACUGAAGCCGAUCAAUGCUGCCUCUGGAUGAACAGUGAGCGUUGUUGGGGGGGGGUAGAUGAACAGUUCCUGGUGAGGGUUGGAUGAACCGGACCCCGUGGUAGUAGAGGCCGUUGCCGCUGGAUGAACAGGACCCCGAUCGAGCCGGUUGGGAGUGGAUGAACAGGACCCCGUGGAGGGUUGGAUGAACAGGACCCCAUGGAGGGCUGGUUGAAUAGUAGCCGGUGGAGGGCUGGAUGAACAGUAGCCCGUGGAGGGGUGGUUGAACAGGACCCCAUGGAGAGGGCUGGUUGAACAGUAGCCGGUGGAGGAGCAGUGGAGGCUGGAUGAACAGGAGCCCGUGGAUGAACAGGCGCAUGUGGAGGCUGGAGAAGGUCGACGGUGGAUGAAUAGUAGCCCAUGGAGGCUGGAGGAGGUCGACGGUGGAGAUGAACUGUAUCCCAUGGAGUCCCGUUUUGCGGUACGCCACACCCCUCCCGAUGAACAGGACCCCUGUUUCGACCGUAGUGCUCCAACACAAGUCUGUUUCCUCCAUUUCGCGGUACGCCACACCCCUCCCGAUCAAAAGGACCUCGUUUCGACCGUACGAGGUCCAAGAGAAGUCCGUUUCCUCCAUUUUGUGGUACGCCAGACCCCUCCCGAUGAAUUUCGACCGUGUCCGCUCGAACACAAGGCCGUUUCCUCCGUUCUGCGGUACGCCAGACCUCGUUUUCAUCGGCUGUUCCGUCCAAGCCGGUUGGCUCCCGAUGAACACGACAUAUUCCGUUGCCUCCCGAUGAACACGACGCAUUCGGUUGCCUCCCCAUGAACACAACGACGACGCAUUUUCUCCGUUCCGACCCAGCCAUGUACACGAGCCCUGGCCAUAUGUAUGCGUGAGUAGGCGUUCGAGACCCCGCCCGUAUGUACGUACGUGGCCGUAUUUACUUUCUUGCACCCUGGCCCUUAUACGUACGUGUACAUGCUACGUGCGUGCCUUUACUACGACACGUGCGCGCCUAUACUACGACAGUGCACGCCUCUACAUCGACCAGUAUAUAUGUACAUGUUUGCGACCAGAAUGCCAACGCUACAUACGCUUUGACCAGGUGGGUCCUGAUUGCCAGGCGCUUCCUUGCGUGCGAAGAUGUAUAUGGUGGGUCCCAGCAGUCAGGGGGGAAAUGUUUUUUUCGCGAAACACGAUGGCCCGUCCGAUGGGUCCCUGCUGUCAGGUGGAGGAAUCAUUAUUUUGCGCGUAAUAAGAAGGCACUUCCUUGCUGUGGCUGUGGACCGAGCUGUCAGCCUCUCCACGUAUAGUACUCUUUCGAUGGAAGUCGUUCCUUGACCACGUUGACCACGCCGCACCGAGAGCACCAGGGCGGUGGACGACGACGAGACCUAGGAAGGGGACGCCAUGGAGCCGGGGAAGACGCGAUAGUGGAAGCCCACGCAGAGAGGAGUACGAGGGUUCACUGGUUUGGUUGCGGUGUGAGGCUGUCGUCGCAGUAGAAUAACAGGGGGUGUGGGUGAGUAGAGGGAUGGCCUGGCCAGCGGCAGGAGUAGUAGGAGGCGGUGAGGCCUCCGCGGCAGCACAACCAGCCACGGGAGGCAGGAUCAGGCGGCACGACUACCGCUGGUUUGGGCGGCUGGAGCAAGACGACCAGAGGUUGAAGAAGCACUAUGGCCGUUGGAUGGACAUCGUACGGUCACUGGAGCUAAUAUCGUUCAUAUUGACUAAGUUGACAAAGCCCUCCGUCCCCAUCAACUUAGUAGGCCCACAAGUCAGCCUCCCACUACGGUGGGUCCCAACUAGCAGGGGGAGUAUUCAUUUUGUGUGUGUAAUAAGGAGACACUUCCUUGCGUGCGAAGAUAUAGCUGGUGGGUCCGAACUGACACAGGGGGGAACAUUUUUAGUGAAAUACAAAGGCCCUUCCAGUGGGUCCCAGCUGUCAGGUGGAGGAAUCAUUAUUUAUGCACGUAAUAAGGAGGCAUUUCAUUGUGUGGUCCCCUACUGUCAGCCUCUUCCGAUGGUUGUUGUUUGUUGACCAUGUUGACCUCGCCAUGCCGAGAGCACAAACGCGAUGGACGAGGGCGAGGCCCAGGAAGGGAACGACCCAGAGCUGGCGAAGCCACCGCAGCGGAUGCCCAUGCUGAGGGGAGUAUGAGCGCUGACUGGUCGGCUGCGGGGUGAGGCUGAAGUCACCGGAAAAUAACUGGAUGUGCUAGUGGGUAGAGGGAUGGCCUGGCGGCAGCACAACCAACCAUGGGAGGAGGGAGCACGCAGUCCCGCCAACGCUGGUUUGGGCGGCUGGAGCAGGAAGAUCAUAGAAUGAAGAAGCACGGAAGCCGUUGGAUGGACAUCCAACAAUCACUACUGUGUGUUGAUUAAGUUUACAAAGCUUUGCGUAUGUGUCAAUUUUUUUAGGACAACGUCAUCGUCAACCUAGUAGGCCCAGAAGUCAGCCUCCAAAUAUGUGAAAAAUAGCAUACAGCCCAUUAGCCAUUAUUUUCAAUAAUUUACAGCCCAUUUGCUAAAUCUUAAGGAUUUGAAGCCCAUAUUCUUUUUAUUAGCAUUACAGACCAUAUAUUUUGGGCACUCCUAAAAAAAUCAAUGAAAUUUUGCAUAUUUAGGUGGGGUCCAAACUCUUUUAAUCACGAAAUUCCGAGUCACGUUAAAAAUAAUUUAAAAAAAUUAUAUCAAAAUAAAAUUCAAAAAAAAAUCUCUACAAAAAAGAGAAUGAAAUUCAAAAUCUUAACUAGCAAGAUGCUCGUGCAUUGCACGGAACAUGAAGAUGCAUUUGUGUGAGUAGUUUAUCUUGUGGGAGAAAAGACGACAUUUUAAUGUAAUUGCCAGUUGGCUUUGGUUUUUAUAAGAGUAGAGAGUAGAGAAAUCCAGAGAAAAUGAUAUUUUAAUGUGAUUGCCAGUUGGCUUUGGUUUAAAAAUUUAUAGCCCAUUUCUUACAACUUAUAGCCCAUUUUCUGGGGAAGCCCAUUUCUUACUACUUACAUCCCUCCUCGUCUUGAAAGAUUUGCAGCCCAGCAGGGCUGAGAGAAGCAAGUAGGCCUCGGUUUUGGUAUUCUCCAAAAAAAAAGAAUUGGGCUAGCCAUUUUCAGAAAGAAAAAAAGAUAUCAAUUGGGCUCGUCAUGUGCUUAAAUAAAAGCGUAAGCGUGGGCUACACGGGCCACAACCCCCUCACAUCGCGUAGUUGAGCUCUAUCUCUGAAUCUAAAAAACAACUGGGCGAGUUGCUGGGUCCCUGGUGUUAUCCGCUCAUUGUGUAAUUUUCUCGUUUAUUGACUACAUUGACAAUGGCGUGGGACCUAGUUGUCGAACAAUUAGGAGGAAGCAUUUUUUUGGCUUGUAAUAACGAGGCACCUGCUUGCGUAAUGCAAUGACCCUGGUGGGUCCCUACUGUCAGCCUCUCCACGUACAGUCAUCUCCUGAUUCCUCUUGGUUGUUGACCAUGUUGACAAUGCCAGACGGCGGUGGGCACAACGAGCGAACCAAGGCGGAGAACGACGGCGAGGCCUCGGACGGGAACGAACAUCAACCAUGGAAGAUGCGGCAGUGUAGUGGCAGGUGGAGGGGAGUACGAGGGCAACAACAUGCGACUCAAGCUUACAAACGGUACAAAAAGCCCAAGGAUUAAUUGUUCAUCAAAUUUUUAGACAAAACCCAGAUUGAACUUGGCAGUAACAUCUAACCCAACCACUCGUUUUUGCAGUCACAAACAAAUGGAUCGGGCUGAUCCAUAAAAUCAACAUCCCGUGCAAAAAAAGUAUUUCAGGAUCACUACAACUUGUUGUAAAUAGAAGCCGAGCAUGUUUAGAAGCCCAUUUGUCCACCUAAAACUUCUUUUUUGCUGUUCAACGUGUCCAUCCGUGAGAAAUCUCUUGCUGUAAAACGUAAGCGUCAUGGACAACCUCACAUUCAAAAGGAAGAAUGUGACAAAGCUUCUGUUUGCCUGGUUGGAUGCAUUUCUUUCCAUCAUUAUUGUCCUCAAGCGAAUGUCAUGAGAACUGAAAAAAUCCUAGUGCUUAUCACUCCACCGAUUGGUUAUACAUUUUUCUCCAUGUGGUCGCAGUACCUAAGUAGACAUGAAGAUUGAAAACAGCUGAACGGUUAAUUCUAGUACAAUAUAUACGGGCUUUCAAUGUGCAUGAAAUCAUCACCUCUAUAUAUAAAAAUUCUCCAGAGAUCAAAAGCAUCACAACAAGCCAAUAAUUAUGUUUAGAUCAAAACUAGACAUUCCGAUAUAUAAGAUCUUGACAGAAUCCAGCAGCAUUGAUAGGCUAUCCAUGGACGAACUCUUCAUUGAGCAUAUAACAUAAUAUUAGUACCCAAAGUGUACUCCAGGAUGAUAUAAAACUUAUGCGCACAAAUGAAAAAUGCAGCUUAUGAUUACAAAUGUGUAGAUGAUAAUAUACGGUACCUGAAAAGUGAGGAGCCAAACACCAACUUCCUGUGAUCAUUAAACGAAUCAAGAAUUACACCCAAUGUCUCCAGUUUGGGCGCAGAGACAACAGUUAUUUGUGAAGGUUUAUAACAAUUAUCAAGGAGCAACCUUAGUGAAUAGGCAUCUUUGAUGAUGAGCUGCUGUCCUUCAAAACAAAUUCCAAUGCUUUUAUGGUGAGGCGACUUUAUUUGGAGAUAACCGAUAGGGAUUUCUACUCCCAAAAUAACCAGCAAGCGCUCCAGGGCAGGGCAACUGGACUGGAUGAUGUUAAGCAGUGAGGCUUCCAACAGACAAACCACCACAAGUUAAAGUUUUUUUAGCAGUGGAAGUCGAAGCAUUUGUACCAGAUCGUCUGGUAGAUGGCACCAGGCGAAGGUGGCGGUGUGGAGAGAGGAGGAAAACAGCGAGAUGGACAAUGGUGGUGUGGGCACGAAUUCUUGGUGUGUUCACGGUAUGAAACUUUCGUGGUAAUGGUAGAACUCAAACUGCUGGAGUUUUCCGAAUUUAGGGGAUGUCAGCUAAGCGUCCAUCGUGUCGGGUACGGACAGGAGGUAGCAUGUCGGUACGGACACCGAGCUCAUGGGUUUGAGCAGAGUAGCCAGCGACGAGCCUAGUGGCAGUGCGAGUGGGGAAGAAGGAGGGUUGGGGUUUUCUGUAGGAGUGGAAGAAGAGGAGCAGGCAUUUUCUGUACGGGUGAGGAAGAAGGUGAGCGGAGGUUUUCUGGAUGAGUGAGGAAGAUGGGGAGCGGGGGAAUUGGGGGGAGACGGAAGCGGGAGAGCGAACUGCAGUAUAAGUGGAAGCGAGGAGGAAGGAGGGUUUUUCUAGGAUCACCCCCUCUUCAAGAAAUAUGGGCUUCUCCUCGCAAAAAAUAAAAACAAAUGGGCUUUAAGAUGGGUAUGCUUUUGUAUCGGCCCAGUCGGCUACCCGUGUUUCAUACCGGUGGGCCUUGUGCUAGAGGCAACCCAUUAGAGACACUCUCCAGCUCUCCAGCUUAUUGCCCAUUCGAAAUAAAAUAAGAGAUGCCUCCAGCUUAAUUAUGCUCCUCAUCGGUAACAUUUUUCAACUUGAAAAAAAGUUAUAGCUCCUUUUCGGGCCGGCUUGGCAUCCACCAAAUUAGAGGAUGGUGUACUGCAUGCAGACACUCACAUUGGUCAUAGCGCGGAAAAAUGAGGGGCCAAAUAACAUGCCCACAAUAUACAUAGAUUAACAGGGAUUGUGGGGGAUUAAAUCAUGUACAACCCAAAUUCCCCUCCAUUCCUCUCCAAACCCCUUGGGAGGAGGUUGAACUGAACAAGGCCUAAGACUAACCACAGGGGGAGUAACUUAGGUAGUAACAUAGGGCACUCCAAGAAAAUUUUGCUUAUGUGGCAUGUAGUUAAUGAGGAGAGAGAUGUUUAGAGUAACAUAGUAAUAUGUUACAGUAUAAGUUACUCCCCAUUGGGAGUAACUUAGGUAGUAACAUAGCGCAUUUCCAGAUUUUUUUUGCUUAUGUUGCAAGUAGUUAAUGAGAAAUGGUAACAUAAUAUGUUACUAUAACAUAGCGCUUCCCAAGACAAGUUGAGUCUACAAGCCAUUAAAUGAAGCCACAUAUGACACUACUACUAUGUUACUUUGCACUAUGAAGAUAGUAACUUAGACUAGUGCCAUACACAUGACAUUAGUAUAAGUUACUCCCCACUAUGACCAGCCUUAAGCCUCUCCUAGUGCUCCACCAUGUAUAGGUGCUAAGCCUGCCACAUAGGCAUAAAAUAUGAUGUGGGCAAGUUAAUUAAGAAGAGAGAGACUAGUUUGGUGAUCCCAGGAAGAAACGGUGCUAAGCGCGUGUACCUAGGUGGAAAGACAAUUUUGAGUCUAUAGCUAAUUAAAUGAAGCAAGCUUAGCAACAACAAACUAAGCACCUAUGCAUUGGAGACUUGAGUUGCUAAGCCAUUUAAUGCACUUAGCACCUCAUCUAAGCACAUUUGCAUUGGAAGAGGUCUUAUAUAUUCCAUACGGUCUCAUAAUAUGAUACUCAACUCUCUCUUUCUUCAUUUAAUUCUACGCCACCUAAUCAAAUUUGCCUACUACUAGCUGGCAUGCAUGAUACUACUUAUAAUACUCCCAUUACAACCAGCCUAGUAGAAUUAAAAUACCUAAUCUAAAUGGUCGCCGCCCGAUCUCUUUGUCCUCCUCCAACAUCCGACAGAAGAAGAAUUGUGCAAGACACCGGCUGUAUUCGCCGGGUCGCCUCGGCGGUGGCCUUCAUGGGAUACAAUCGACGACGACCUCCCGUGUUCUACAUCUCCUCGAUGAUGGCGGCGGGCGGGGACGUGCUGCCCGUCAUCUCGUCGACAUCCGUGUAGCCGCGUUACCUCGUCGACAUCCAUGGCGGCUUCUUUCUCUGCCUGCAUGUCCCGGCUACGCGCGCGUCGAUGACGGAUGGUGCAGUCGCAGACACUGGAGGCGUUGUACGACGCGGCGGCGUCGAGGGCAGCGACGAUGCUUGUGCCGCCGUGCUCCCCGACAAGCCGGCGUGGAGCAAGUCGGCACUCUUCCUCGAGCUGUAUUGGAGAGGCCAGAUGCGGAACCACAUGCUGGUUAGUGCGGCAACUGCCUCCGACGGGCUAGGCGAGGUAGGUGGAGAAGCAAGCGGCCUCGCUCAUAACUGCUGGGCUCGGUGGGCCAUCCAGACGGCUUUUAUGCCGGAGAACUGCUCUUCCUACUCAUCGGAUGCCGCCGAAGGAGUGGACAAAAUGGUGGAAGGAGGAGCUUGGCCCGUUGGCCAGCGUCCUGCUCCUGAACGGACAUGUGUGGACGGAGUUGGUUUCUCGCAUUCCACGCGGGUUUAAAUGUACUAGGUUUUUGAAUGCGGCGAGGAGGCUGGUACAACUGGGAGUGUAGCGGGCGGCGCCCUGGGCCGGCGCGCCUCUUGAAAUGGCGAACACAGUGAGAGGUCGCGUCCGCCCUGACCCCCUUGACUGUGGACCUUGACGGUGUACGUCACCUUGUGUCCAGAUCUAAGAUGCCACAUUUACCAGAUGAAUGACUCCAAGUUCGACCACCGUGAUGCUAGAGGUGCGAGCCGAGGAACACUGUUGGAGACACCCCCUCAGACUAGCCACAAUGGGUAGUAACAUAUACUAGUAACAUGCUCAUGUUACUAGUCUAUAUGUUACUACCUCUAUAGUGGGGACAUGCAACACUUCAUUUAUUAGGCUAUAGACACAUCUCGCGUUGAUAUGUGUGAUGUUACUCAUACUACUAGUAACUAGCUAUGUUACUCCAUAAUAUUGCUUGCCACAUUAUCUACUUUAUCUAGAUAUGUGUGAUGUUACUACCUAUGUUACUCCCACUUUGAGUAGUCUCAUAAUUUUCCUCAUCAUCAUCUGAGUCCUAGAAGAUCUCACCCACAUCAUCAUUAGGCAUGCAACCACCUUCAUAGACAACGUGCGCAGAAGGAUUAGAGGCGACUGGGGACGCACCACGUCGUGGGCACUCCGUACAUGCUUGUGUGCAUGCAGUGUGCGUGCUUUUCCAUUGGUGCUAGCUCUAAGGCCGAGGCUGCGGUCGUCUUCGUCUCCGGAUAGUUGUUGAGCAACGACGGCAAAGAGGUGCUACAAGAGAUGCGUAGGCGCCGUUGUGUGCGAGCUUCGCCAUAGCACGACGAACUAGACGUCGCCGUAGAUGGCGCACGCCUCCAUGCAGCCGAGUGUGUGCGCAUGCAUGUGUUAUUCACGUGCAUUCUGUGGCCGAGUGUGUGUGCAUGCAUGUGUUGUGUACGUGUGUUGUGUGCUCCAUGUUGUGCGCGUAUGUGCAUGCAUUGCAUCGACAUGAGUUAGUGUGUUCAUGUGUGUACAUGUGUGGAUGCAUGCGUCCUGUACAUGCGUGACUUCUUGCUUGGUUAUCAAUAUAAACUAUACAAUAUCUUCAACUUAGCAUCUUGAUGUAUCGUCUCUAGUGGUUAGCGAAGAGUUCAUGUUCUUUUAUUUUUUAUAGGUGGGUAGGCGGCAAAAAACAGGGGAAAACGUGUAAGGUUCCUUGCAUACGAUCCACCGCGAGGUUCCUUGCUCCUUCUCGGUCGUCGGGAAUCUAUGUUCUUCCACUCUUUUUUUACAUGAGCUUUGUUCAUCCUUUUGCCAACACGCGAGACAUCUAGCAUCAAGGUGCACGUCAUGCAAGAAAAUGGAGAUAAUCAGAUAAGCAGUGCGUAAGUGAGUCAUGCACUUCGAUGGCACCUACUACGCAAUAUUUUUUCUCCUCAAUGGCACAUGAAUAGUGCAUGUACUCAAUGAUGGAGCACAAGAUGGUAGCCAUGACAUGGCCAACCCUUUUUUGGAGAGAGUACGUACUAAAUAACUCUGAUCUGUCCCGUCAACUCACAGAAAGACGAGAAGCUUGCUUACUAUGCCUUCUCCUUUGCCAAUGCGUGCGCGGUGGCUCGUAGCACGAGGAGAAAAAUUUGCUUACAAGCGGUGGACGUGCAACAGUUCAUUUGGUGUCAGAUUGCCAGAAGUACUACUGUAGUACCAUCAUAUUGUCCGACUUCCAGAAGAGGCGAAGAGCCAAGCGCAAGGUCACCUACUAACCUUAGGCUAGCCAUAGUGGGAGUAACAUAAGUAGGAGUACCUCCUCUUUUUUCCUCUAGAAACAACCACACGCGAAUAUUGGAUGGUAGUAGCACAGUAACUGAAUCAAAAAUCGAAACCAACCAAUGAACUAGUACUACUAAUGGUGAGUGUUUGCUAGUAUCAUGUACUCCGUCUAUCCAUGUAUAUAAGGCUUAAUGCGUUUUACGAGACUAACUUUGGCCCUGUUUGGAUCCAUGGGUUAGAGUUAGUUUGAGCUAGUUGGGGCUCAAAUAGCCCUAAAGUAUCCAAACAUGAGGGUUAAAUUGGAGCAAGUUGCCCCAAACCCACCAAAAAAACUAUCCCACCCAAGAGUCGCUAACAUGUGAUGAGUUAACUGACCUCAAUAGACGGCAAAAACGCCAGCCCGCCGCACUUUGAGAGAGACGAGGAGCGAGAAGCGAUACAAGCUGCUGGAUUACUAGAGCUAGGUGUCGCAUGGAGGCCAAGAAAUAUGGUGAUAGGGUAGGUUAGUCAUGUAGUAUGAUGUAACUACAUUGGGCUGCCGUGUUUCGUACUCUUCCGGUCUACUGUGGAGAUUAUUGGUUGAUUUUAUAUCACUGAAUAAUAUAAAAUAUUAUGAGUGCAGACGCUCCACCAUGAGGUUCCUUGCUCCUUCUCGGUCAUCGAGAAUCUAUGUUCUUCCACUCUCUUUUUUGACGUGAGCUUUGUUCUUCCUUUUGCCAACACGCGGGACAUCUAGCGUCAAGGUGCAUGUGUCAUGCAAGAAAAUGGAGAUAAGCAGUGCAUAAGUGAGUCGUGCACUGCGAUGGCACCUAGUGCUACGCAAUAUUUUUCCUCCUCGAUGGCAUGUGAAUAGUGCAUGUACUCAAUGACCGAGCACGGGAUGGUAGCCAUGGACAUGGUCGGCCCUUUUUGGAGAGAGUACUAAAUACAUAUUAAUUUUGAUGUGUCCCAUCAACUCGGAGAACGACGAGAAGCACACGCUGAAUGACAAAGCAUGGGAUGGUAGCCAUGGACAAGGUCAACCCUUUUUGGAGAUUAAUGUACUACUUUUGAUGUGUUUGGGCCCCAUGCUCAUGUAUGCCAACGUGGUACAAGUUAAUUAUUUUGCUAGAGUCAGCUAUCACACCCUUUCGAUGCCACGUCAAUGGUAACCACUAGAAAUAAGUUAGACUUGUUCGGUUCAACCGCCUCCCUAGGUGUUUGGAGAGGAAUUGGCCAGCGCAAGGCAGUUCUAUAGGUGGGCAGGCGGCUUAAGACGAGGGAGGGAAAAUUCUACAUUCGCAGGGGAUGUGGAAUUGUCUAUUGGGCGGCAACAUGUGGUCAUCCGAUACACCAUAAAGGAUACGAAGAGGCAUCCUAUAUCAGCAAGGACCAACUUCCCUACCGAUAGCUCAUCUAACAAAACUCUCAAGUUAACUGUGCUGAGGCUGGUGUAGUCAUGAGAUGGGUGACCGGAUGGGAAGUGGACUCGAUAUUAGCUAGACGGAUGGGUCACUGCAAGGUCUCUGUUUUGUAAUUUUUGACAUUUUUUUUGAACACAUGUUAAUCGAUGUUUUUUUUGAACAUAACGCAUCCCAAGACAUAUAUGCUUAUGUGGCAUGGAGUUAAUGAGGAGAGAGGUGUUUGUAGUAACAUAAUAUGUUACCGUAACAUAACGCACACCAAUGCAAAAUAAGUCUACAACAUAAUAAAUGAAGGCUUGCAUGACACUACAUUUAUGUUACUACCCACUAUGAUGAUAACAUGCAUAUGUUACUAGUCUAAAUUACUGCCCACUAUGACUAGCCUUAGCAUGGUUAAUAAUAUAGUCAACUGAUGGCUACAAGGAACCGCCAUGUCAUCUACAACCAUCAUCUAUAUGCACUCAUGCAAUAGUGUGGGUUAUAAGGUUGGCUAUUAGUACAUUAGUACUUUUUUCCAUCUUCUCUCUAUCUCUUUCUUCACAUUUAUUGCAUUUAUUACAUUAUUACUUUCUUCACAUUUAUCUCAUGCAAGAGCCUAGCUAUAUGCGGAUUCCUAGACAAAUAGAAUAAAUGUGAAGAAAGAGAAAGAGAGAAGGUUGAAAAAGGUAGUAAUGUUAUAGCCAACCUUGUAGCCCACACUACUAUAUGAGUGACUAUAAAUGAUGGCUAUACAUGACAUGGUAGUUUCUUAUAGCCAUCAGCUGGCUAUACUAUUAACCAUGCUCUUAGUAGUUGACCUUGCGCUUGGCUCUUCACCUCUUUUGGAAGUCGAAUGAGAGCAUGGUUAAUAGUAGAGCCAGCUAAUGGCUAUAUGACAUUGCCAUAUCAUCUACAGUCAACCUUGUAGCCUUCAAGUAUAAUAGUAAGAUACAAAGAUGUGCUACUUCAUUAAUACAUGGCCCACCUCUCACUCUCACAUAGUGCCUAGGAGCAUGUGUUGCAGCUAGCUCUUAUUCUGUAGCUGGCUCAUCUUCUCUCUCCUCUUCUCUUCCCUCCAUGUCAGCAGAAAAACAAUAUUUUAAUCCUUACAGCCUACUUACAUAAGCUUAUUAUACUUGCUCUGAACUGCUGGCAAUCUGAGACCAAAUGAACUGCUGCACGUCCACUGUUUGUAGGCAACAGUUCCUCCUCGUGCUACGAGCCACCAUGCACGUGUUGGCGAGGGAGAAGGCGUAGUAAGAAAGCUUCUCGUCGUUCUGUGAGUUGCCGCAUGUUGGCAAAAGGAUGAACAAAGCUCAUGUAAAAAAGAGUGGAAGAACAUAGAUUCCCGACGAUCGAGAAGGAGCAAGGAACCUCGUGGUGGAGUGUCUGACUCAUAAUAUUUUAUAUUAUUCAGCGAUAUAAAAUCAACCAAUCAUCUCCACAGUAGACCGGAAGAGUACAAAACAUGGCAGCCCAGUGUAGUUACAUCAUACUGCAUGGCUAACCCACGCUAUCACCAUAUUUCUUGGCCUCCGUCCGACACCUAGCUCUAGUAAUUCGGCAGCCCAUAUCACUUCUCGCUCCUCGUCUCUCUCAAAGUGCGGCCGGCUGGCGUUAUUGCCGUCUAUUGAGGUCGGUUAACUCAUCACAUGUUAGCGACAUGCCAAGAGCAUUCUAAAAAAAUUAGUGUACUCUAUUGUUAUGCCAAGAAGAGGAAGCGCUUUGACCGAUGGACCAAACGAGACAGGCGUGCCAUGCCAUGAGUGGGUCCAGUUUCCCAUUUUGAACUUGUUUGGUGUAGUAGUAACACUUGGUUUUGACUAUUGAUAAGAUUUUAUAUAGGGCCUAAUGUAUUCUUCCAGGAUGUCAUUGACUAUUGAUAAGAUUUUAUAUAAUUUGAAAAUUAUAUCAUUUGAAGAUCCUUUCACGUCCCGUUUAAAAAAAUAUCCUUUCACAUACGAAUUUGACUGUAUGCUUUGAGCAACUUGCAUGUCCUAUACUGCUCCUGUUUGGAUACUCAACUUAGCUAGAGGUUAGACUAACUCAUCAAUAACCCUGAACUAAUUGUAGCCAAAGAGGUUUUUGGGUGACAGGGUUAGAUUGACAAUAAAUGCACUUAAUGGAGAGAGAAAAGUGAUUUUCCAGUGGGCCCAAUGAGAACUAUCUCCAAUUAGCACCUCUUGGGUGGGAUAGUUUUUUUUGUGGGAUCCAUGCAACUUGCUCCAAUUUAACCCUCAUGCUUGGAUACUUUAGGGCUAUUUGAGCCCCAACUAACUCAAACUAACUCUAACCCAUGGAUCCAAACAGGGCCAAAGUUAGUCUCAUAAAACACAUUAAGCCCUAUAUACAUGGACAGACGGAGUACAUGAUACUAGCAAACGCUCACCAUUAGUAGUACUAGUUCAUUGGUUGGUUUCAAUUUUUGAUUCAGUUACUGUGCUGCUACCGUCCAAUAUUCGCGUGUGGUUGUUUCUAGAGGAAAAAGGAGGUACUAGUACUUACUGUGGGAAAGGUGAAGUGAUGGUUGCUCCGUCCGAGCAACUUAUUACUCUGGGAAUAUGGGAGUACUAGCGGAUUCAACGAACAGAGAAAUGAUGGUUGCUUCGUCCGAGCAACUUACUAUGGCGAAGGUGGGGCUCUAUGAUAUGACUGCUCACUAGUCAUUACUACUGCGGCACAACGACCGGGGUGAAUCUUUCCCUGCAGUUGUGCACUCAAUAUUGCUACAUGGUAGGUGGAGCCGAUGAAGGAUGUCCCACAUGUCAGUGAAACAAAGUUGAAUUGUUUCUGGCAUUGCUAUCAAUCCUUCAGGAUUUGUUUAUAUGUACGCAUAAUUUUAAUAAAAUUGUACUGUGAUGCUAUGAAGGUUUCAACUUUGGUUCCCGCAGGAAAAAAGGUUUCAACUUAGGAUUCAUGUGUCCUCUUGCCUCAAGAUUAUCUCGUUACAACAUUCCAUCAAAUACAAAUGAAACUACCAUGGCUGCUAAUGCAUCUCAAUGGUUGACAGAUUAGUGCCAAUAUUCACAUCACAACCGAAGACAAAGUUGUGAGAAGGUGUACAAAUAAAGAAAAAUAUAUAAUUGAUCGAUGUUGUUCAUAGGCAUGGCUCCAUUUCCUGGGCACAAUGUUCAUUGGUUGGCAGCUAGUUUCACCCAGCUCUGUAGCCAAAAAAGAGGUGUAUUGAGGACACCACAAUCCGAUCAUUUUGUGUAGCUCCACUAAAAUUGAGCUGACCAUCCCGGUUUGCAAAGAUAUCCGGUCAGUGUGAUCACAAUAAUAGUGAAACUAGUUGAUGAAACAUAACACACACAAAUAGAAGCCGAUCACCUCCGCAAUCUCUCUUUAGGAAUAACUACUUGUUGGAGAAGAUUAGGCACGGAGUUGGAUGAGGAGGAUAGCAAAAUCAAUCUCCCUUUCCGCAGUCCCACAAAAAUGUAAAAAUGUUGCCCGUGCGACAUUUUGGCGGAACUGCACAAAACACUCUUAAGAAAAAAGUGAUUUGUGUAGUUUGCCAAAAGGUCGCAAUAUCAACGAGGUGAAAUGGAUAGCCCUGUUUACAAAAGGAGGUAGAAAGGAAACAAUUACUUCCCAAUAACAUGAGUUGAAGACACACACGCCGACAAAAAAAGAAGCAUAUUCCAUGUAAUAAGGGAAAGAUAGAAGCAUGGUGGUUUAUCAAAAAUGGUUUGAGGACGAGAUUGCAAGAUGGAAAGUACGCCGACCGAGAUACGUUUAAGCAAACAACUAAAGAAGAUCCACAUGCAGCAAUGUGGGAAGAUGGGCAGUGGAGCAAGGCCGAAGGAAGCCGUACCUGAGGGUAGUCGGGAUGUUACUAGGAGGACGCCGACGGCCGGGAUCUGCCCAUAUUGUGGCAGCUAGCAAGUGGCGAAGGCCCUACCACGCCGGAGCUUGGUUAGAGAGAAUGACGGGUACCGCGGAUCGGGACAUGCUGCCUCAACGCCGUCGAAUGGAGAAACAAUGCACAUCCUCCCUUUUCGCUGGCGGACGGGCUGCGGCCGGAUCACUGAGCAACGAUGUGUGUGAGAGAGAGGCCACCGCCGCCUUGUGUGAGAUGGUGUGAUGAGAGACAAACCCCGACAGGCAGGCUUCAUUGUAUAUAGUGGAGCGGAUUUUUCCAUUUCCCCCACGACAAUCAUUUUAUAUUCUGUACGUGCCAUUGAGGAAUAUAUAACUUUAUUUAAUACUAACGCGUCAAGUCGAACUUUGUUCCAUCUAGCAUGGUACCUGACCCUCCUUCGAGUAAACAACCGCUACACGCGUCAAAUUAUCACGUGUGCUGCCUUUUCGUACAGAAACGAACUCCACCGUGUACCCAUGCAGGUGUGGCCGGGAACGAGACGUGAGCACGUGUGUCCUGGGUGCACCUCUUCUUUAGGUGCAGGUACGUACGUGGGUGGGUGGGAGAGAGAUGGUUUGUGCAAAACAGAGGCAAUGUGUUGAUGAUAUCUCAAACAAAAAAACGUAACAUAUGCAAUGUGUGUGAAACAGAGUCAUGGAUAUAUCAUAUAUAGAGGGAGCGAUCCACGAGAAGAGAGUGGGGGGAUCAUCGGUGUGAGAUAUUGAUAGAAUCGAAAACAAGGAUGAAGUGUGUGGCUGCGCGAUCGAUAAAGAGUUCCAUCAAAUUUGUGUUUGCCCGCGUCAAAGAUACAGGGUGGCUGGCCUACUGGAAUUUGAGAGGGCAGAGGUGCAGUUUUUCUCUAUGGCAUGGAUACCUACCUACAACGUUCGACUAUCGAUGUGUGUGUGUGGGGGGGGGGGCAGAGACCUAACUAUAGAGAGGUAGAUCGACUAGUAUAUGCGUGGAGAAGGAGAGAGACCUAGCUAUGUAUUGAGGGAGAUCGAUCGGCAUCCAUGCAUAUGUGUAGUAGAGGAAUAAGGUUGGGAGAAAGACAAAGGUAGAGUGUUGGAGGGUUGGUGGUGGAGUGGCGUCUCACAAAUGGAGGGAGAGGCCUGCUAGACAAACAAAGGGUACGAGUGCAAUAUCAAUAAGAGAGGGCUGGGGAUGUUUGUCUGUCUAUGGACGUGCGUGUGAGAGACGGGUCGGGAGGUAUGCAAGGAUGAUGAGGGGAGACGAUAUGGUUGUGGUAAGCAUACAUAACUACAUAGGAAGAUCAAUCGUCGUGUGUCCGAGAAAGGGAGAGACAUAACUAGUGAGGUAAGUCUAUCGGUGCGUGGGGAAAACGAAUUAUAGUCAACCUGGCUAUAUGUAGGGAGAUCGGUACGUAUACAUGCAUGCAUGUGUUAGAAGCAAAUAAGGUCCGGAGAGACAGACAGGGGGAGAUGGGUGCGGCUGGGAGGUGGUGCGACAGGCCUACCAUGUCGAGGGGGAGAAGUGUGCGAGUAUGAGAUCGAUGAAAAGAGGGGUGGGACUGUGCACCUACGUGGAACCGUAUUGGACAUAGGGGGGCAUGGACGGUGAGAAGAGAAGAGGGGGAAGUAUGUGUUUGUGGUAGGCACACUUGGCUAGAGAGGUAUAUCGACCGGUGUGUGCCGGAAAGGAGCCGGGGGGCCUACACACACCGCGGGUGAACGACCUAAAGAGAAAUAAGGAACAUGCACGAUGGAGGGGACGCUCAUGGAGGGUGAGAGGGGGCGGGUGUGUGCAUGCACGAUAGAAAGUUAGCGCUAGCUAGCUACAAAGAGAAGAGGAUCGUGAAGGUGUAAAAGACGAGCAGAGAUCAUAAUUCAUUAUGAAAAAGUGGAUACAGAUACUUGAAGAAGAUAUCAUAAUGUAGAACAUUGAUUAUAAUUUGGGCUAAUGUGUGGCUUUUGCAGCUCAGGGCUAAAUACUCAUCAUAAUGUAGGGGGCAGGGCACUAUACUUUGUGUGAUAAACACGGUGUAUGUAUGGAACAUGGUUUAGAUUAUGAAUAUAUAGUUAGUACAUCAAAUGUACUAUUAUUUGGAAUCAACAUCAAGUGUAUUAAAAAAAUUGAAUUCGAGUUCAUAUAGUACACAUAGUUCAUAUCUAUCUCUAUAGUAAUCAUGUGGUGUGUUGUUAAGGUAAUACAUGAAUGGUGGUUGAAGUCGGCAACAAUCAUGAUUAUAGAUUCUUAUUGAAAUAGAGAAACAAAUUCAAAUUUAGUUCGAAUUGCAGAGGUAGUAUAGACAUUUGGAAUGCACUAAAAUGUUGGUAUGAGUAGGUUACAUGCAUUAUACAGCCACCAAAAAAUUUAAUUGGACAUAACAUGUUGGUAUGAGUAGCUUUGAAUAGCAUUUGUAUAGUAAAACGGGACAAGACUCUCUUUGUGUGGUGUGAAUAGUUUUAUUUUUUUCAUUUUUUUCGUUGAGGGAAGUGUGAAUUGAUUUGGUAUGUACAAGUACAAUAUUACACGUUAGGCUUGUCCCUAAAAUUCAGCCCGCGCCUUGUUAUAUCCCGAAAAUUCAUAUAUUGUGCUCCCAAAACUGGCGCCUUCACAACCCGCGCCUUGCUUUCCCGAAAUUACAACGCGCACGAAAACUCCCUCCAGCUGCCAAAUACCGACACGCAAAAUCCCCCUUAUAACCCUGAGCCAAAAGGGCCGCUAGUUCAAAUCGGUGGGGGUACUUUUGUAACACACCCUACAUUUUGGACAAGUGCGUCCCUAAGUCAUGGUUCCCCCUCCCAUCGCCUCCUUUUCGCAAUUUGAAAUCCUAUGCCGCCAUAACCUCUCUGCUCCAGCCGCGAAACCCCACCCUCCUCCAUCUGCCACCUCACCGCUGCCUAGCCGGAGCCUCUUCCCUGACGACGUCGUCCACCGCAACAGCUCGACGUCCCUCAUCCACCUCCCCGGAUGAGGAUCCGUCAUCCAUCUCGUUGUCCCGCCGGUUCAGCCGCCCCGUCCUCCACCUCCAAGGAGCUGCUCCGACGAUCGCCUCGUCUAUCACGGCUGCUCCAACCCCAUAGCGCCGCCUUAACCUGCUCCACCGGAACCGCAGCAUCCUCGCCGACUCCUCGGACGAAGUCGAGGCCUACUCGGCGCCACUAAUGAGGUUGUACACUCAUCGCAUCGCACCUUCUCCUUAACUCGACCUCUCGGUACCGACUGUGCUCCAUCCCGCACCCCCAUGGAGUGGCUACCUCGAAGCUGACACCGUGGGCAACAUCUCCACGGCGGCUCUCCCCUAGUGCGAGGCCCCUUCAGCGGCGGUGUCCAUACCAGCCAGAUCUUCUGCUGCUACUUCGGCUCUCGCUCGCUCGCUCGCACUGCUGCUGCUCCGGCUCUUGCUCGCUCGCGCUGCUGCUGCUCUCCCCCUCGCUCGUGCUGCUAUUCUGCUCCAAUUUAGCUACACUUCAGUCAACUGUAUCGACUUCUGGGUUAGUUGAUUUUCAGGGGGGGCUCGCAGGAGUUAAGGAAGAACCACCCACAGCGGGGAGGGGGGCUCGCCGGUGAGGUACCCCACUAUCUAUCUCAGGGUUCAUGGUGGGGGCGGUGGUCGUUGACAGUGGGGGGCGGUGGCGUGGGUAUCGCCGGAGAAAAAUCUNNNNNNNNNNNNNNNNNNNNNNNNNNNNNNNNNNNNNNNNNNNNNNNNNNNNNNNNNNNNNNNNNNNNNNNNNNNNNNNNNNNNNNNNNNNNNNNNNNNNNNNNNNNNNNNNNNNNNNNNNNNNNNNNNNNNNNNNNNNNNNNNNNNNNNNNNNNNNNNNNNNNNNNNNNNNNNNNNNNNNNNNNNNNNNNNNNNNNNNNNNNNNNNNNNNNNNNNNNNNNNNNNNNNNNNNNNNNNNNNNNNNNNNNNNNNNNNNNNNNNNNNNNNNNNNNNNNNNNNNNNNNNNNNNNNNNNNNNNNNNNNNNNNNNNNNNNNNNNNNNNNNNNNNNNNNNNNNNNNNNNNNNNNNNNNNNNNNNNNNNNNNNNNNNNNNNNNNNNNNNNNNNNNNNNNNNNNNNNNNNNNNNNNNNNNNNNNNNNNNNNNNGACGAUGGACCGGCGGUGGGGAGUUGUUUCGGGGCGGUAGGGGGGCGGCCAACCGACAGUGGGGAGUUGUUUCAGGGUGGCGAGGCGGCGGCGGACUGGCAGUGGGGAGUUGUUUCAGGGCGGCGAGGCGGUGCAGGGGCAGGUGGUGGCUGGCGGCUGCUACGUCUUGAGCUUGCGUUGGUUUUCCCCGAAGAGGAAGGGAUGAUGCAGCAGAGUAGCGUAAGUAUUUCCCUCAGUUUUUGAGAACCAAGGUAUCAAUCCAGUAGGAGGCCAUCCUCAAGUCCCUCGUACCUGCACAAAACGAUAGCUACUCGCAACCAACUCGAUUAGGGGUUGUCAAUCCCUUCACGGUCACUUACGAGAGUGAGAUCUGAUAGAUAUAAUAUUUUUGGUAUUUUUGAUAUAAAGAUGCAAAGUAAAAAGUAAAGGCAAAGUAAAAAAUCAAAGCAAGAUUAAAGUGAUGGAGAUUGAUAUGAUGAGAAUAGACCCGGGGGCCAUAGGUUUCACUAGUGGCUUCUCUCAAGAGCAUAAGUAUUCUACGGUGGGUGAACAAAUUACUGUUGAGCAAUUGACAGAAUUGAGCAUAGUUAUGAGAAUAUCUAGGCAUGAUCAUGUAUAUAGGCAUCACGUCCGUGACAAGUAGACCGAAAUGAUUCUGCAUCAACUACUAUUACUCCACUCAUUGACCGCUAUCCAGCAUGCAUCUAGAGUAUUAAGUUAAAAACAGAGUAACGCCUUAAGCAAGAUGACAUGAUGUAGAGAGAUAAAUUCAUGCAAUAUGAAAUAAACCCCAUCUUGUUAUCCUCGAUGGCAACGAUGCAAUACGUGCCUUGCUGCCCCUUCUGUCACCGGGAAAGGACACCGCAAGAUCGAACCCAAAGCUAAACACUUCUCCCAUGUCAAGAACUACCAAUCUAGUUGGCCAAACCAAACGGAUAAUUCGAAGAGACUUGCAAAGAUAACCAAUCAUACAUAAAAGAAUUCAGAGAAUAUUCAAAUAUUAUUCAUAGAUAGACUUGAUCAUAAACCCACAAUUCAUCGAUCUCAACAAACACACUGCAAAAAGAAGAUCACAUCGAAUAGAUCUCCACGAGAAAGGGGGAGAACUUUGUAUUGAGAUUCAAAGAGAGAGAAGAAGCCAUCUAGCUACUAACUAUGGACCCGAAAGUCUGAGGUAAACUACUCACACUUCAUCGGAGGGGCUAGGAUGAUGUAGAAGCCCUCCGUGAUGACGGCCCUCUUCCCGCGGAGCUACGGAACAGGCCCCAAGAUGGGAUCUCGUGGAUACAGAAAGUUGCGGCGGUGGAAUUAGGUUUUUGGCUCCUGUUCUGAUCGUUUGGGGGUACGUAGGUAUAUAUAGGAGGAAGGAGUACGUCAGUGGAGCACCGAGGGGCCAACGAGGCAGGGGGCACGCCCUAGGGGGGGCGCCCCCCACCCUCGUGACCUCCUCUUUGACUCCCUGGAGUAGGGUCCAAGUCUCUUGGAUCACGUUUGGUGAGAAAAUCACGUUCCCGAAGAUUUUAUUCCGUUUGGACUCCGUUUGAUAUUCUGUUUCUCCGAAACACUGAAAUAGGCAAAAAAUAGCAAUUCUGGGCUGGGCCUCCGGUUAAUAGGUUAGUCCCAAAAAUAAUAUAAAAGUGGAAAAUAAAGCCCAAUAUAGUCCAAAACAGUAGAUAAUAUAGCAUGGAGCAAUCAAAAAUUAUAGAUACGUUGGAGACGUAUCAAGCAUCUCCAAGCUUAAUUCCUACUCGUCCUCGAGUAGGUAAAUGAUAAAGAUAGAAUUUUUGAUGCGGAGUGCUACUUGGCAUAAUUUCACUGCAAAUCUUCUUAAUUGUGGUAUGAGUAUUCAGAUUAGAAAGAUUCAAGACAAAAGUUUAUAUUGACAUAAAAAUAAUAAUACUUCAAGCAUACUAAGAAAGCAAUUAUGUCUUCUCAAAAUAACAUGGCCAAAGAAAUUUAUCCCUACAAAAUCAUAUAGUCUGGCUAUGCUCCAUCUUCACCACACGAAGUAUUUAAAGCAUGCACAACCCCGAUGACAAGCCAAGCAAUUGUUUCAUACUCUAAAUUUUUCAAAACUUUUUCAAUCUUCACGCAAUACAUGAGCAUGAGCCAUGGAUAUAACACUAUAGGUGGAAUAGAAUGGUGGUUGUGGAUAAGACAAAAAGGAGGGGAAUAUAGUAUCACAUCAACUAGGCGUAUCAACGGGCUAUGGAGAUGCUCAUCAAUAGAUAUCAAUGUGAGUGAGUAGGGAUUGCCAUGCAAUGGAUGCACUAGAGGUAUAAACGUAUGAAAGCUCAACAAAAUAAACUAGUGGGUGUGCAUCGAACUUGCUUGCUCAUGAAGACCUAGGGCAAUCUGAGGAAGCCCAUCAUUGGAAUAUACAAGCCAAGUUCUAUAAUGUAAAAUUCCCACUAGUAUAUGAAAGUGACAACAUAUGAGACUCUCUAUAUGAAGAACAUGGUGCUACUUUGAAGCACAAUAUAUGAGACUCGCUAUAUCAUGGUGCUACUUUAAAGCACAAGUGUGGAAAAAGAUAGUAGCAUUGCCCUUUUUUAUUUAUUUUCUUUUUUUGGGCCCUCUUUUUUUCUUUGGCCUCCCCCUUUUUUGGGACAAUGCUCUAUUGAAUGAUGAUCAUCACACUUCUAUUUAUUUACAACUCAAUGAUUACAACUCGAUACUAAAACAAAGUAUGACUCUAUAUGGAUGCCUCCGGCGGUGUACCGGGAUAUGCAAUGAAUCAAGAGUGACAAGUAUGAAAAAAUUAUGAAUGGUGGCUUUGCCACAAAUACUAUGUCAACUACAUGAUCAUGCUAAGCAAUAUGACAAUGAUGAAUGUGUCAUGAUGAACUAGAUGGUGGAAAGUUGCAUGGCAAUAUAUCUCGGAAUGGCUAUGGAAAUGCCAUAAUAGGUAGGUAUGGUGGAUGUUUUGAGGAAGGUAUAUGGUAGGUGUAUGAUACCGGCGAAAGGUGCACGGUAUUAGAGAGGCUAGCAAAGGUAGAAGGGUGAGAGUGCGUAUGAUCCAUGGACUCAACAUUAGUCAUAAAGAACUCAUAUAAUUAUUGCAAAAAUCUAGAAGUUAUCAAAGCAAAGUACUAUGCGCAUGCUCCUAGGGGGAUAGAUUGGUAGGAAAAGACCAUAGCUCGUCCCCGACCGCUACUCAUAAGCAAGACAAUCAAUAAAUAAAUCAUGCUCCGACUUCAUCACAUAACGGUUCACCAUACAUGCAUGCUACGGGAAUCACAAACUUCAACACUAGUAUUCUUUAAAUUCACAACUACUCAACUAGCAUGACUUUAAUAUUAUCACCUCCAUAUCUCAAAACAAUUAUCAUGCUUCAAUCUUUUCUUAGUAUUCAACACACUCAAAAGAAAGUUUCACAAAUCUUGAAUACCAAGCAUAUUAUUAUUAAGCAAAUUACCAUGAUAUUAAGACUCUCAAAAUAAUUUAAGUGAAGCAUGAGAGAUCAAUAGUUUCUUUAAAAUAAGUCCACCACCGUGCUCUAAAAGAUCUAAGUGAAGCACAUAGAGCAAAAUUAUAACGCUCAAAAGAUAUAAAUGAAGCAUAUAGAGCAAAACUACUUAGCUCAAAAGAUAUAAGUGAAGCACAUAGAGUACUUUAUCAAAUUUUAAUUCAUGGAUGGAUCUCUCAAAAGGUGUGUACAGCAAGGAUGAUUGUGGCAUACUAAGACACAAAUACACAAAUAAUACAAGACGCUCCAAGCAAAACACAUAUCAUGUUGGUGAAUAAAAAUAUAGCUCCAAGUAAAUUACCGAUGGAAGUGGACGAAAGAGGGGAUGCCUUCCGGGGCAUCCCCAAGCUUUGACUUUUUGGUGUCCUUGGAUUAUCUUGGGGGUUCCAUGGGCAUCCCCAAUCUUAGGCUCUUGCCACUCCUUGUUCCAUAAUCCAUCAAAUCCUUACCCAAAACUUGAAAACUUCACAACACAAAACUCAAAAUAGAAAACUCGUGAGCUCCGUUAGCGAAAGAAAACAAAAGACCACUUCAAGGUACUGUAAUGAACUCAUUCUUUAUUUAUAUUGGUGUUAAACCUACUUUAUUCCAACUUCUCUAUGGUUUAUAAACUAUUUUACUAGCCAUAGAUUCAUCAAAAUAAGCAAACAACACACGAAAAACAGAAUCUGUCAAAAACAGAACAGUCUGUAGUAAUCUGUAGCUAGCGCAAGAUCUGGAACCCCAAAAAUUCUAAAAUAAAUUUCUGGACGUGAGGAAUUUAUCUAUUAAUCAUCUGAAAAAAUAAUUAACUAAAUAUCACUCUUCAAAUAAAAAUUACAGCAGUUCUCGUGAGCGCUAAAGUUUCUGUUUUUUACCGCAAGUUCAACAAGACUUUCCCCAAGUCUUCCCAACGGUUCUACUUGGCACAAACACUAAUUAAACACAAAAAACACAACCAAAACAGAGGCUAGAUAAUUUAUUUAUUACUAAACAGGAGCAAAAAUAAAGGAAUAAAAAUAAAAUUGGGUUGCCUCCCAACAAGCGCUAUCGUUUAACGCCCCUAGCUAGGCAUAAAAGCGAGGAUAGAUCUAGGUAUUGCCAUAGUAGUAAGAUAGAUUAUUAAACUCAUUUCAUAUUCUCUACGUUCAGCAGCAAGUUUUCUUUGAGGCAAGCAAAAGUAAUCAAAAGGGCUAAAUUUAACGGGACAAAAGUCCCCAAGAUCAACCUUGGGAGGUAUAGGUUCCUCCUUUGGUCCUUCAUAAUGCACAACCAAUUCAUCAUUAUAAGCAUUCUUUUGACAGAACUUUGUGAGCCUAUAUUCAAGAGAAUAUCCUAGUUCAUUAUUUCGAAUAGCCAAAUCAUCAUUAAGUUCAGAAAUUAUGUCAACUAAAACAUUGGUAGGAACCCUUUUUCUAAGAUUUUCAUUGAAAACAACAUAGUCUAGAGAUUGAAAACACAUUAUUUCUUCUUGAUCAAAGAGGAUAGUCUCUAUGGGAGGACGGCAAGCGUCCACCCUAUAAUGCGCACAGAUUUCUUUGGCCUCUUUUAUUAUGAAUCUAAACUCAUGAGCCAAAAAGAUAGUAGCGGCACGCUUAACAGAAGAAUGCUCAAUAUUAGAAAAUUCCAGAAAAAUCCUUUGUAUGGAAGGAUGCAUGUGCAUGAAUUGUCUUUCAAGUUCAACUACAAGCAUGGCAAUAGCGUCCGCAAGACUACUAGUUCUGUGAAGGAUAGAACUACCCAUAGAAGGUAAAGCACCGGCACAAGUAAAGAAAUCUUGAAUAACUCCUUUUCCAAUAAUAUUACCACUACCAACACGGAAUUUUUCUGUAUGAAAGAUGGUAGGUUCUUUAGCGGGAGCAUCAGAAUUUUUCAUGAUAUUAUUAUUGUCCAUAUCGACAAUAAUUUCCCCAAUUUCAGACAUAGAGGCAGAGGGUAAAGGACUAGACAUAAUGACAAGCAAACAAACUAACACACGAGCAAACAAAGGCAAACGGGUAAAAGAGGCAAAUAGAGAGGGAGGAUAGAGAGAGAGAGAGGGCGAAUAAAACGGCAAGGGUGAAGUGGGGGAGAGGAAAACGAGAGGCAAAUGGCAAAUAAUGUAAUGCGAGAGAUAGGGAUUGCGAUGGGUACUUGGUAUGUUGACUUUUUGCGUAGACUCCCCGGCAACGGCACCAGAAAUCCUUCUUGCUACGUCUUGAGCUUGCGUUGGUUUUCCCUGAAGAGGAAGGGAUGAUGCAGCAGAGUAGCGUAAGUAUUUCCCUCAAUUUUUGAUAACCAAGGUAUCAAUCCAGUAGGAGACCACACUCAAGUCCCUCAUACCUGCACAAAACGGUAGCUACUCGCAACCAACGCGAUUAGGGGUUGUCAAUCCCUUCACGGUCACUUAUGAGAGUGAGAUCUGAUAGAUAUAAUUUUUUUUUGGUAUUUUUGAUAUAAAGAUGCAAAGUAAAAAGUAAAGGAAAAGUAAAAAAAGCAAAGCAAGAUUAAAGUGAUGGAGAUUGAUACGAUGAGAAUAGAUGCGGGGGCCAUAGGUUUCACUAGUGGCUUCUCUCAAGAGCAUAAGUAUUCUACGGUGGGUGAACAAAUUACUGUUGAGCAAUUGACAGAAUUGAGUAGAGUUAUGAGAAUAUCUAGGCAUGAUCAUGUAUAUAGGCAUCACGUCCAUGACAAGUAGACCAAAAUGAUUCUGCAUCUACUACUAUUACUCCACUCAUCGACCGCUACCCAACAUGCAUCUAGAGUAUUAAGUUAAAAACAGAGUAACACCUUAAGCAAGAUGACAUGAUGUAGAGAGAUAAAUUCAUGCAAUAUGAAAUAAACCCCAUCUUGUUAUCCUCGAUGGCAACGAUGCAAUACGUGCCUUGCUGCCCCUUCUGUCACUGGGAAAGGACACCGCAAGAUCAAACCCAAAGCUAAACACUUCUCCCAUGGCAAGAACUACCAAUCUAGUUGGCCAAACCAAACGGAUAAUUCGGAGAUACUUGAAAAGAUAACCAAUCAUACAUAAAAGAAUCCAGAGAAGAUUCAAAUAUUAUUCAUAGAUAGACUUGAUCAUAAAACCCACAAUUCAUCGAUCUCAACAAACACACCGCAAAAAGAAGAUCACAUCAAAUAGAUCUCCACGAGAAAGGGGGAGAACUUUGUAUUGAGAUUCAAAGAGAGAGAAUAAGCCAUCUAGCUACUAACUAUGAACCUGAAGGUCUGAGGUAAACUACUCACACUUCAUCGGAGGGGCUAGGAUGAUGUAGAAGCCCUCCGUGAUGACGGCCCUCUUCCGGUGGAACUCCGAAGCAGGCCCCAAGGUGGGAUCUCGUGGAUACAGAAAGUUGCGGCGGUGGAAUUAGGUUUUUGGCUCCUGUUCUGAUCGUUUGGGGUACAUAGGUAUAUAUAGGAGGAAGGAGUACGUCGGUGGAGCACCGAGGGGCCCAUGAGGCAGGGGGCGCGCCCUAGGGGGGGCACCCCCCACCCUCGUGACCUCCUCUUUGACUCCCUGGAGUAGGGUCCAAGUCUCCUGAAUCACGUUUGGUGAGAAAAUCACGUUCCCGAAGAUUUUAUUCCGUUUGGACUCCGUUUGAUAUUCUGUUUCUCCGAAACACUGAAAUAGGCAAAAAAACAGCAAUUCUGGGCUGGGCCUCCGGUUAAUAGGUUAGUCCCAAAAAUAAUAUGAAAGUGGAAAAUAAAGCCCAAUAUAGUCCAAAACAGUAGAUAAUAUAGCUUGGAUCAAUCAAAAAUUAUAGAUACGUUGGAGACGUAUUAGCGGCUCAGGGGGGUGCAGGUUGAAGAUGAACUCCAAGCCCUCCCUAAACUACAUGUGAAGUGCCUCUCUGCUACCAUUGCGUUCAGUUUCGACAGUAACAUUCAGAUUCCACAGUAAAUUUUAGUUUCCACAGUCAAGUCCAGAGUCAACUGUUUUUACCUCAUCUAUUGUAGUCAAGUGGUUUUUGGUGGUAAUGUAUUUUACAUCAUCUAUAGGAGAUUCUAUUAGAAUCCCACUUGAGAUUAAUGAUGUUUGUCUUGUGCUGCUUCAGCCUCGACGUCUUACGGCUCACCGGAGCUGCUCCUACGACGGAACGAUCCAUCAAAACAGAGCAGUGCCCUGGACGCCGUCUAUAGAUUCCUCAGAUCUUCCUCCACACCUCCAACAGCCACCUCUGCCUCAACUUCUUCAGCGACCAACCCAAUGAUGCUGAGGUCGACAUGGCUAUGGCAAAGAGGUUGCACACUUGUUGCAUCACUUAUUACUCUACAUUCAUGUCGAUCCAUUAGAGCUAUUUUGGUUCAACGGAAAAACAAAGCAAUAGGAAAUUUUCCUAUGGCACUCUACUAUUCAAUUAUUCAUGCAUUUUGCUGGAAGGAAUGGAGCAAAACAUCCACCUAGACCUACUUUUCAAUAUCCUAUGCAUGAAAAGAAGACCAAGUGCAUUGGUGGCAGAAUAACAUUCUAACUGUACACACUUUCAUAUGGUUUCACUUUGUUUUGGCUAUGUUUCUUUGCAUUCCGCCGCUCUUCCAAUUCCUGUGAACCAAACACCCAAAUUAAAAGAAAUCCUGUGUUUACAAAUGCUCUAUUUACCAUGUGCUUUCCUAUCCUAUUUUGGUGUUUUUCCUAUCCAUGCGUUUUUAGAAUCAUGCAAGCCAAAUGAGCCUUACAGAAUUACUUCAGUUACAGGUAGGUGUCGAAGGAAACUUUGUGUCGUUUGUCCUUCUCCUGUCGUGACAUCGUCCACCUCACCUGAGCUCCUCCAUCGACAGAAGCAUCCACCAAACCAGACAUCAUGACUCCUGACCAUCUUUCGCCGCCUCAGAUCUCCUUCCCUACCGCCGGCACCCACCGCAACGGCAUCACCAUCAUCGACUCAGCAGAUGAACCUGAGGAGUACACGGGUCCACAAGAGAGGUCACACUCUUUUGUUUCUGCUUAUGGUAUGCAUUGCUUAAAAUUACCUGCUACUUUAUCGUCCUAUUCACCUCUUAGACUCCAAGUCAGGUCCAAAUUAAUGUUCAAACUUGAUUUCUAAAUUAGUUGUGGGGCACAUAUCGAGGCAACAAUGAAUAGUAUCUGUGUCUAAUAUCUGGUUCACCUAGGGUAUGCCUAUGUUGUUCAUCUUGGGUGGGAAACAAAUAGUAAAGCAAUCAUCAUCUAUCUUUUUUAUUAAAUUAAUGCAAUCAUCAGCCUGCUAUCAUUAUUUUUGGAUCCAUCCACUGGUUGUUACCAUCACUCUAGAUUUCCGCAUGCUCUCCUUACAUAAUCUGACCAUAUUUUUUUCGUAUGCAUGUCAGAUAUUGUACACAGUCAUGAUGAACAUGUAGAGAAAAAGAGAAGAGUUUUGCGCGGCAAUACAAUGUCAUGCAGACAUCGCUCCAUGGUGGGUUCAAUGGCAAACCCUCCCCCACUCUCCAGAUUGUAAUCCCGAGGAAGAUAUCUGUUCUGAGGCGGAUUCAGACACAGCUAACCACUCCUAUUUACCCCAAGGUGUUUGCUCUACCUUGGCAUGAUGAUGUUAGUCAUAUCAUGCAUAUGUUGCCUUGCAGUGCCUAGUUUUGACAUCAUAUAUGUCAUUUGCUUAGUUUAGACAUGUUCUGUAAUGCCAACUAUUUAGUUUCUAUAUCAUAUAUGGGAAUUAUGCAGUCUUAUGUCUUUUAGCCAGCCAUAAUAUAUGUGAAAUGUGCAAUGCCAUCCUGUUUAACCAGGCAUCAUAUAUUUGAAUGAUAUCUUGCCCAUCCUUUUCUUCAUUACAUUUCCAUUUGUCGAUAAUGUUUGUACAUUGAACUACUCUUAUUGUGAAUCAGCCAUUCGGGUGGGAGAUGGAAAAAUCUGGAGUGAAAACAAGUCCUUCAGAGCAGACAGUGCUACCUGUCGAAGCCUCUUGUUGGGCCCCGAUAGCUCCUCAGAGAUGGAUUCAGAGACAGAUGACCAGUCCUAUUCCCCCAUCGAGGUGUAUGCUCUAACUUGGCACGGUUAUACUGCUCAUAUCAUGCAUAUGGUGUAUUGCAUUGCAUAGUUUAGACAUCAUAUACACAAUAUUCAACACCAUGUUCUUAGUUCAGACAUCAUAUAUGCGAAUGCCCUCUGCUUAGCAUAUAAAUCACAUAUGUGAAUUAAAUCAUGCGAUCCUGAUUACUUAGAUAACAUGUAUGUGAAUUAUGUAUGCGAUCCUGUUUAGUUAUUCAUCAUAUCUUUGAAUUAUGUUAUGCUAUGCUAUCCAGUUUAGAUAGACAUCAUAUAGGUGAAAUUAUGUCAUGCUAUCCAUUUUAGUUAAACAAUAUACAUGUCAACUAUUUCAUGCCCUGUUUUUUCCACACUAUCUAUUGCAUCUGUCUCUCAUACAAUGUCUGCACAUUCAACUAUGUUUCAUGUUUAUCCGCCAUUUGAAUUGGAGUGGGUGAUGCCAGUAUCUAGAGGAGUAAAAACAUGGUCUUCAAAUAAAACAAUGCUACCUCUUGGUGAAGAUAGCACCUCGGUUGUACAUGCACGAGAACCAGCCCUACCACACAUAACCCAGACUCUCGCAGAUUGUACCCCUACUGUGAUGGACAGAGAACCAACUUCACCCAAUCUAACCCCAACCCUAGCAGAUAGUAACACAGUUCCUAUUGACACAACACCAUCUCCACCAUAGAGCUCCCAAACAAGAGCAGUUAGUAAGGCAGCUCCAGCGCCCAAAGGGCCAGUACUACCACGGCGAACCCCAACUCCACCAGUUAGUACGCCUAUUCCUGUGGAGGAAGCACAACCAACCAAUCGUAGUUUAGCAUCUAUCGCAUUUGAUGUUGUUAAAUCCUAUGCGCGUAUCUUCCCAUCAUGGAAAUAUUAUACUAAAGAUGAAGGAAAAUGCCAGUUAUAGCUGUUUGUCCAGGAGUUAUGUGUAAGUAAUGUUAUUCAUGGCAAUUACUUUGCUUUGUCCCAUACAUUCUACCUCCAUGAUGGUUAUAAUACAGAAAUUUUUCCCAUUUUCUAUAUAGAGAAGGACCAAUUUGGAAUCUCAAGAUGAGGUAACCUGUGCUAGUACCUCUACUAUCUUCAAGAAUGCUUGGUGGCAGUAUCGGAAUUACCUGAAGAAAGCGUACUUCACUAGCAAAGAAACUCAUCAAAUUCCCUUACGUUCUCCUGAGACACAUUUACUGGAUGAUGACUGGGAAUGCCUUGUUUUGUACUGGUCCCGAACCAAGAAUGUGGUAAGGUCUAUGAGCUCAUUUUCUAUUUUUAAGUACUAUAUUCUUGCAUCUUACUGUAGUCUGUUCAUGUAGAACAAGUGCUUAAACCUGAAGAACAACUAUUCUAAUUUAAGAUUCCAUUUCUAUCGUGCAUAUUGCUUUGCUCUUGUAUCACUGUAUUUACUCAUACAAACUUAUUUUUAAAUUGAAGGAUCCAAUCGGAACUCCAAUGGCACAACAGGUAUGUUCCCGCAUGUUUCUUUAACAGGUUUUCUCUUAUCAAUAACUCUGUUGAUUUCAAUUUGAGUUGUGUAUACAGUUGACCUCUCAUAUCAUGCACAUUACUAGCAUUACACCAUAGCUAAUAGUGUUGUUGUACAUGUAGACCCGUGGUACCCAUCUGGAAUCUUGUUGUGCAAUGUAGUUUCCCACGCUUUGUAUUCUAGCAGUGCUGCUUUGUCUUGAACUGAUAUGAUUUGAACCAUGUCUCUAUUUUUAUUUGGCAAUACAAUCCAGUGACCAUAGGAGAUAGAUAUAUGUUUGUUUGAUGCUUUUAUUAUGUACUGCUUGGCAAUAGAAGACUUGGUAGUUUAAUCUUGUCCACCUUACUAAUGAACUGGUUCACCGAAAUGAGUUUCAUAUACUACUACAUGCUAAACCUGUUAUGUGUCUACUUGUUUCUUAUUUUAGAAUGCUGACAGAAUAUUAGGGAAGAGUGCCUUAUUAAGCACUGGUAAAGGAAGUAAUGCAGAUAAGAGACAUCCUUGUUGGUUUCCAACAAAGCUGAUACAACAGCUAAGGAAAACUAUCUUGGAGACAGUGAGACAACCCCAAAGUCAUGUCUUGGUUUAGUGUUCGAGUUACUGGCCACUACCGCUUGCACAAGCUAUUCAAACUCACUGUCUGAAUCAGUUCGGUUUCUUGAGUCUCAACUACAAGCUGAAAGACAUCGAUUAGCUGUGCUGCGACAAGAAGCGGAAGGACUGUGUAAGUCCCUGGAGCAUUCAGAUGCAUACUUUCUGGUGCAACAACAAGUGUUGGAGGAUUUUAGCGUCAAACAGGAUAAAGCUAAUAAGAUUGCCAAGGUUAUUGCCAGCAUGCUGGAUACCCAGGAUAACGUUUCUUGAGCUCUUCGAAAACUGUUUCAGUUAUGGACUUGUUUUGCGGCCGCGUUUAUUUGCACUAGUGGCCAAUUUAGAUGACCAUUGUAUGUAAUAUGCUGCUUUGUUCCCUAUAUUUGCACUGGCGGCGAUCUUUGAUGCCCAGUGGAUGUAAUAUGUGUAACAGCCGUAAUAGCCUAGCGUUAGUUCCUUGCUUAUUUAUUUCCUUAUUGUCUUGUUUAGUUGUUUGCUUGUAGUCACUGUAGUUCUUUUUCCGCGUUUUUCUAGUGGCCACAAUAAAGUAGGCCACAAUAACCAUGGCAACACACGGACCGUUGUGACCAUGGUCUUGCUACCUGCGUAGUGACCAUGGCCCUCCACGGGCUGUACGAUCCAUGGGCCUUCCACGGGCCAUAAGAUCCAUGGGCCUUCUACGGGCUGUAGGAUCCAUGGGCCUUCUACGGGCCGUAGGAUCCAUGGGCCUUCUACGGACCGUCUCAUCUAUGGGCCUUCUAUGGGCCAUAUAAUCGUUUCGCCAAACAUGGGCCGUACUAUUCAUGGACAAAUGACGAACCGCAAAAUGGGCUAUAAACGGGCUAGAGUGGAAAUCAUCUGUUUUAUGGCCCGACCAUAACGGGCCAUUAAUGGGCCGUAAUUGAUAACGCUACGAAAACAGCCCAAUGUGUUAAUAGGCCACAAGUAGGCCGACUGUAACCACGGGCUGAAUUUGGCCCACAAACUGAACAUGCUAGUAACGGACCGUAAGUAUCGAAUUCUGGAAAUGAGCCAAAGAAUAAAUGGGCCCUUACGGUGGAUGCCACGUGUCGGUCACCUUUGACGAAUGCACUUCGGUCACCCUUGUCGACAAGAACCGGAAGGACUGCGGAAGUCCCUGGAGCAUUCAGAUGCAUACUUUCUGGUGCAACAACAAGCGUUGGAGGAUUUUAGCGUCAAACAAGACAAAGCUAAUAAGAUUGCUAAGGUUAUUGCCAGCAUGGUGGAUACCCAGGAUAACAUUUCUUGAGCUCUUCCGAAGUUGUUUCAGUUAUGGACUUGUUUUGCUGCCCUAUUUAUUUGCAAUGGUGGCCAAUUUAGACGACCAUUGUAUGUAAUAUGCUGCUUUGUUCCCUAUAUUUGCACUAGCAGUGAACUUUGAUGCCCAAUGGAUGUAAUAUGUGUAAUAGCCGUAAUAGCCUAGCGUUAGUUCCUUGCUUAUUUAUUUCCUUAUUGUCUUGUUUAGUUGUUUGCUUGUAGUCACUAUAGUUCUCUUUCCUCAUUUUCCUAGUGGCCACAAUAAAGUAGGCCACAAUAACCAUGGCAACACACGGACUGUUGUGACCAUGGUCCUGCUACCUGCGUAGUGACCAUGGCCCUUCAUGGGUUGUACGAUCCAUGGGCCUUCCACGGGCCGUAGGAUCCAUGGGCCUUCUAUGGGCCGUAGGAUCCAUGGGCCUUCUACGGGCCAUAGGAUCCAUGGGCCUUCUACGGGUCGUAGGAUCCAUGGGCCUUCUAUGGGCCCUCUCAUCAAUGGGCCUUCUACGGGCCGUAUAAUCGUUUCGCCAAACAUGGGCCGUACUAUUCGUGGACCAAUGACGGACUGCAAAAUGGGCCGUAAACGGGCUAGAGUGUAAAUCGUCUGUUUUAUGGCCCAACCAUAAAGGGUCGUUAAUGGGCCGUAAUUGAUGACGCUACGAAAACAGCCCAAUGUGUUAACGGGCCACAUGUAGGCCGACUGUAACCACGGGCUGAAUUUGUCCCACAAACUAAACAGGCGAGUAACGUACCGUAAGUAAUCAAAUUGUGGAAAUGAGCCCAAGAAUAAAUGGGCCCUUAGAAGGCCGAAAGUUAACACGGGCUGGAAACGGCAGACUGACUAAUGGGCCGUUAAUGGGUAUAAAGCGAUACACUGUUCAUUAUGGGCCAGUUUCACCACGGGUCGUUAAUGGGCCAAGAUUUACAAAGGGCCUCAUAUGGGCAGAAAGGCGUCAUGGGCCAGACAUUGGGCCGGAAGUUACAACGGGCUGGAAUCAUACUGGACGGCCCAGAUGAGGCUACUAGGCCUAGUUCGGGUACCGUAAUGGGCCGUAACCUAGCGGGCUGUAUAUGGGCUAUAUGGUAACAUGCCAUUAAUAGGCUUUCCAUGGGCCGGCCCGCUACCUCUUUGACCAAGUCAAAUGGGCCGACCUUUUCACCGGAAUGUGCCUCUGUUGGGCCGUGCCACGUGUCGACGUAUCAUAGGCGCCUCCUGUCCACUGAGUGGAUGACAUCUAUCCCAACGGUGAGCCAACACGUGUUUCCUCCGGCCAAUGAGAAUUUUACACGUGGAAAAUCCCCAUUGGUCCGGGCUAUUAACGGGUUAUCGGAUCCAAAACCGGACCUGAUAGCUUAACGGUGACCCGUUACGGUGGGUGCCACGUGUCGGUCACCCUUGACGAAAGUACUUCCAUGACGCGCCAUUUAUCGUCAUGGAAGUGGACACUUCCGUGAUGAUAAUUUUGAUAAUGUCAUGUAACACUUCUACGACAGCACAGGUAUGACUAUCUUGAUUCUGCCAUAAAAUCUUCAUGGAUGUACAUGCAUGACAGAAAACGCGACCUAUUGUGACAAACACGUAUCAUCACAUAAGUGUAUUUUUUUGUAGUGAAAGCACCAACUAGGGGGCACUAUGAUCGUACUUGAGCAUUGGGUGUAGUUAAUAUGCGAGUGUGUUUCAUGAAUGGAUCAAUGAUUGAGCAUGAUGGGCUAGGGAUAACUUAUUUUAGCAUUGAUAUUUUGGAAGACAUGGUUUCUUGGUGAUAUGCUUGAGUAUUGAUGUCCUCAUGUCAAAUUAUAGACUAUUACUUUGAAUCAUUGAAGUACAAAUGUCCAUGCUACAAAAGAAAAGAGUAUAUGAUGAAUAUGAUAGGUAGCAUUCCACAACAAAAAUUCCGUUUUAAAUUGGUACUUUAUCAUGAUAAGUUUUAUGAGAAAGAGUUGUUGUUAUGAUGCUAGGAAAAGUGAUUGAAAUUAUCAUUGCUCAAACUUAUGCACUUUGCUAGCAUUCACAGUUCAUAAAUUAUUUCUUUUAUCAUUCACCUACUCGAGGACGAGUAGGAAUUAAGCUUGGGGAUGCUGAUAAGUCUCCAACGUAUCUAUAAUUUAUGAAGUAUUCAUGCCAUGUUUACAACAAUUUUAUAUGGUUUUGGUAUGAUUUGCAUGGAACUAACCCGGACUGUGGCUGUUUUCAGCAAAACUACCAUGGUGUUGUUUUUUUGUGCAGAAAUGAAAGUUCUCCAAAUGAGUUGAAACCUUUUGAUGAUUUUUUUGGAACAAAAGAGACCCCCGAAGCUUCAUGGGAGGGCCAGAAGAGCCACGAGGAGGGCACAACCCACCAAGGCUCACCUGGUGGGCCUGGCUUGCCCCGGUGGGUUGUGCUCACCUCGAGGCCCAUAUUAGCGUGAAACCAACGUAAAAAAUUCCUAUAAAUAGAGAAACCAUAGGGGUUAACCUAGAUCAGAAGUUCCGCCGCUGCAGGCCUCCGUAGCCACCGAAAACCAAUCUAGACCCCGUUCCGGCACCCCGCUGGAGGGGGGAAUCAUCUCUGGUGGCCAUCUUCAUCAUCCCGGCGGCCACCACGAUGAGGAGGGAGUAGUCCACCCUCGGGGCUGAGGGUUUGUACCAGUAGCCAUGUGUUUAAUCUCUCUCUCUCUCUCUCUCUCUCGUGUUCUUGAGAUGUCAUGAUCUUGAUGUGUCGCGGGCUUUGUUAAUAUAGUCGGAUCAUAUGGUGUUUUCCCCUCUCUAUCUUGUUGUGAUGAAUUGAGUUUUUCCCUUUGAGAUUUCGUUAUUAUCGGAUUGAAUACUUUUAUGGAUUUGAGAGUACAUGAUAUAUAUCUUGCAAAUGAAUACUCCUAGUGACAAUGGGGUCUUAUUUUGAUUCACUUGAUAUAUGUUUUGGCACUCAACUCACGGAUUCCCGAGGUGACAUUGGGGUAAUCUACGCAUAGGGGUUGAUGCAUGUUCUUGUCUUUGUUUCUCUGGUAGAAAUCUUGGGGCACUCUUUGAAGUUCUUUGUGUUGGAUUGAGUAUUAUGAAUUUGAAAUUAUUUGGUGUUAUUUAGUACGAACUCUUGGAUAGAUCGAUUGGAAAGUAUAGCUUCAAGGUGGUUUCGUACCCUACAAACGAUUUCUUCUUAUGUUCUCUGCUAGAUAGGAACUUUGGAGUGAUUCUUCAUCGCACUUUGAGGGGUGGUUAUAUGAUCCAAUUAUAUCAGCAUUGUCUAGAGAUUGCACUAGCGAAAGUACGGACCCUAGGCCUCAUUUUCAAGCAUUGCAAUACCAUUUUUGUGCCCGUUUAAUAUUUGCUACCUUGCUGUUUUUAUUUAUUCAGAUUAUAAAAAUAUAUUUCUACCAUCAAUAAUUACACUUUUAUCACCAUCUCUUCACAGAACUAGUGCACCUAUGCAAAUUACAAUUGUAUUUGGUGUGCUGGGGACACAAGAGACUUUUUAUUAUUUGGUUGCAGUGUUGUUUGAGAGAGACCAUCUUCAUCUUACACCUCCCACGGAUUGAUAAACCUUAGGUCAUCCACUUGAGGAAAAAUUGCUACUGCCCUACAAAACUCUGUGCUUGGAGGCCCAACACGUGUCUACAAGAAGAAAAUGAUGUAGUAGACAUCACCUACCUGUGUGGUCUGCUUGCAUCGCUAAUUCUCAUUGCCUCUCCUCUUAAACCACCUAGCAUGGAACCACCUCCUUAGGGAAACUCCAACGCGUCGAUGCAAAUGGUCUGCACUUGUCCAUUUGGGUCGAAACAGACGAAAACAUUGGCCUAACGCACCGAGCAAACCCAAAAUCUAUCUGCUUGCUAUCCAUCUGGACGCAUUCCCAACUCAAAUUUGCAUCUAAUUUGCUUCCAGUCAGACAUGAGAUGGACGGGCCGCGCGCCCCCUUGAUGUCUGCCUUGGGCCCGCGUGUCGGCUGCCCAACUACCCCACACAGCUGCAGUCAAUGGGGCUCUCCACUUCUCCUACCACUCCCCUCCACAUCUGACCACACUCACUCCCUCGUUAGUGACAGAAAAACCUAACUAGCCCGUGGGUCCGCCAUGGGGUUCUUCAACAACAAGUGCAAGUUCGACGAUGGCAGUGGCUCAUCCUGCGCACAGCCAGAUGCCUUAAUGUUGGUGCCGCAAGAGGGGAGGACUCGCCAGCCACAUGACUGGCUCUACAUCCUGGUGCACCACGCACAUUACCACUAGCAGUACCGCAUGCCACUAUCGUGGAACGACGUCAACCUCCCCCACGGCUAGCACCAGCACUGCAUCCCGGUGCUGGUAAUGUUGAGGUCAAUGCGGUGCACACAUGUAGGAGGUGUGCAGGCCCCGUUCCUUCCUGGUGCCAGAGCGGUGUCGCGACCCUACGUACGCGCCAGACUCCCCCAAAUGGGAAGUCUGGCUCGCCGCUACUUGUGAACUGCGUUAGGAUUUCCCCGAAGAGGAGAGGAUGAUGUAGUACAAUGGAGAUACGUAUUUGGCACAACUUUAGGUUUAAAUGCACUAGCAGUAUUUCUGCUUAGUACAAGUGGAGGCUAGCAAAUAGAUUGAGAAGCGACCAACCAAAAAAUGAAAACGGUCAUAAACAUGCAUUGAACAUAACUAACACUGAAGAAUGCACCGUAAGUAUGAUGUAACUUCGUUGCAUAACUAUUGACUUUACGUGCAUGCAUACGGAAUCACAAACCUUAACACCAAUAUUCUUACUAAAGCACAAUUACUCACUAGCAUAACUCACAUAUUAUCCUCUCCAUAUCGCAAAACUAUUGCAAGGAAUCAAGCUUAUCACAUCCAAUGAUCUAUAUGAAAGUUUUUAUUAUAUUCCUCUUGGAUAUUCAUCAUAUUGGGACCAAAUUCAUAUUUUGUGCAAAUUACCAUCACUAUUAUCAACUCUCAAAAAGAUAUAAGUGAAGCAUGAGAGUGCAAAUAUUUACAUAAAAUAUAAUCUUAUCAACUCUCAAAAUAAUAUAAGUAAAGCAUGGGAGUGCAAAUAUUUCUUUAAAAUAUAAUCACCGCCGUGCUAAAAAAGAUAUAAGUGAAGCACUAGAGCAACUGUCUAGCUCAAAAGAUAUAAGUGAAGCACAUAGAAUAUUCUAACAUAUCAUGAUAAACGUGUGGCUCUCUCAAAUAAGUGUGUUCAGCAAGGAUGAUUGUAACAAACUAAAAAGCAAACAAAUCAAAGACUCAUAUAAUACAUGACGCUCCAAGCAAAACUCAUGAUAUGUGACGAAUAAAAAUAUAGCUCCGGAUAAAAUUACCAAUAGUUGGUAGAAGAAAGAGGGGAUGCCUUCCGGGGCAUCUCCAAACUUAGUUGCUUGGGAAUCUUUGAAUAUUAUCUUGGGGUGCCUUGGGCAUCACCAAGCUUAGGCUCUUGCCACUCCUUAUUCCUUCAUCCAUCAUGAUCUCACCCAAAACUUGAAAACUUUAAUCACACAAAACUUAACAGAACCUUCAUGAGAUCCGUUAGUAUAAUAAAGCAAAUCACCACUUUAAGUAUUGUUGCAAACCGAUUCAUAUUUUGUUAUUGCAUUAUACCUAUUGUAUUCUAACUUUACCAUGGCUCGUACCCCCGGAUACAAUCCAUAGAUUCCAAAAUAAGCACACAAUGCAACAAAAACAGAAUCUGUCAAAAAUAGAACAACCUGUAGUAAUCUGAACAUUGACCAUAUUUCUGUUACCCAAAAAUUCUGAAAAAAAGGACAACGUGGGAAAUUUGUAUAUAAAUUAUGUGUAACAAAUUCAGAGCAAAAUCAUGUUUAUGUGAAUUUACAAAAUUCCAGAACUGAGCACAAAAGUUUUUUUUCACAGAAUCAAAUCAACUAUCAUCCAAACCAUCCUAAAGGCUUCACUUUGUACAAACACUAACUAAAACACAAAAACACAAUCAUAAUAGUAGCAUAAUUGUGUUCUUAUUAAAAACAGAAAAGAAACAAAAAAAAAA